This 70577-nucleotide long non-coding RNA is filed under the name Xyrichtys novacula (pearly razorfish). Lineage: Eukaryota; Metazoa; Chordata; Actinopteri; Labriformes; Labridae. The record is from RNAcentral.
UUUUAACCUCUCAUUUAGGUGUGUUUGAACUAUUGGCUAGCCAUAUAGACUUGUAAUAACCCCCUAAGUAGUAUUUCAAGUAAUUUAUCUAAUACAGGUGUGUAUAUAUAAGCUUCAAUUAGCCAAUCGUCAGGUCUAAAUCAAGGUCUAACUAAAGGAUAUUUUUUGACUUAGAAGUAGAAGUAAAGUAAAUGCAGACUAAUAGCAUUAUAAUGACACAAAUAUAAUAUGACACUGACAUAUUUUAAAUACAAAAUAAGAUCUACUGAUGUAUACACUCUACGCUGUGUGCACAAUUAUUAGGCAAGUGAGUAUUUUGAUCAUAUCAUCAUUUUUAUGCAUAUUUUCCAACUCCAAGCUGUAUAAACUUGAAUGUUUAUUGGAUAUAAGCAUAUCAGGUAAUGUGUAUUAGUGUAAUGAGGGAGGCUGGGGCCUAAGGAGAUCAAAACCCUAUAUCAAGGUGUGCAUAAUUAUUAGGCAGCUUCUUUUCCUCAGGUAAAAUGGGCCAAAAAAGAGAUUUAAAUGACUCUGAAAAGUCAAAAAUUGUAAAAAGUCUUUCAGAGGGAUGCAGCACUCUUGAAAUUGCUUAGAUAUUUGGGUGUGAUCACAGAACCAGCAAACAUUUUGAUGCAAAUAGUCAACAGGGUCGCAAGAAAUGUGUUAAGAAAAAAAGACGCAAAUUAACUGCCACAGAUUUGAGAAGACUCAAACGUAAAGCUACCAGGAACCGCUUAUCCUCCGGUGCUGUCAUAUUCCAGAACUGCAACCUACCUGGAGUGCCCAGAAGUACAAGGUGUUCAGUGCUCAGAGACAUGGCCAAGGUAAGGAAGGCUGAAAUCUGACCACCACUGAACAAGACACAAGUUGAAACGUCAAGACUGGGCCAAGAAAUAUCUGAAGAGAGAUUUUUCAAAGGUUUUACGGACUGAUGGGAUGAGAGUGACUCUUGACGGACCAGAUGGAUGGACCUGUGGCUGGAUCAGUAAUGGGCACAGAGCUCCACUUCGAAUCAGACCCAAGCAAGGUGGAGGCGGGGUACUGGUAUGGGCUGGUAUUAUUAAAGAUGAGCUAGCUGGACCUUUUGGAGUUGAAGAUGGACUUAAAAUCAACUCCCAAAUCCAAAGCCAGUUUUGAGAAGACACUUUCUUCAAGCAGUGGUACAGGCAAAAGUCUGCAUCUUUCAAGAAAACCAUGAUUUUUAUGCAGGACAAUGCUCCAUUGCAUGCAACAAAGUACUCCACUAUGUGGCUCGCCAGUAAAGGCCUUAAAAACGAAAGAAUAAUGACGUGGCCUCCUUCUUCACCUGACCUAAACCCUGUUGAGAACUUGUGAGCCCUUCUUAAACGGGAAAUUUACAGUGAAGGAAGACAGUACACCUCUCUAAACAGUGUCUGGAACAGUGUCUGGGAGGCUUUGGUUGCUGCAACACAAAAAGUUGAUCGUCAACAGAUCAAGAAACUGAAAGACUCCAUGAAUGGAAAGCUUAUGACUGUUAAUGAAAAGAAGGGUGGCUAUAUUGGUCACUGAUUUUUUUUUUUUAAUUUCAACAAUUUUUAUUUGUAAAUUGAGUUGUUUGUUUAUCAUUCUCACUUUAACAAGUGAAAAUAAACAAGUGAGAUGGAAAAUUUUUCAUUUUUAAUUUAGUUGCAUAAUAAUUCUGCACACUAAUAGCUGCCCCCAAUAAUUGUGCACACAUAGAUAUUCUCCCAAGAAAGCCAAAAUCUCACUUUUACUCCCUUAAAUAUUAAGGUUUGAGGUUUAUUAACAUUUUGGAUUGACUGAGAGCACUGCAGUUGUUCCAAAAUAAAAUGUAUCCUCAAAAAUACAACUUGCCUAAUAAUUGUGCACACAGUGUAUACAAUCAUCUGAGAAAAACUCCAUUCCUCCACCAAGAACUUGAUGAGACUGGCUUUGUUGGCAGGGCUGAAGAGAAGUUUCCUCCACUGCUGAAUAUUGUGGCCAGAAACGAUGUUUCUGAACUGGAUCCCCAUGUCUGCACCUCUGUUUAGUCUUUCUGAAUUUUUGAUUGACAUGUCCUUGUAAACGUCACAGACAACAUCAAUCCUUUCACUAUCACCACCUUCAUGCAGGACCUUGGCUAAAGUUGAGUCCAGCCAGCUUCCACCAUGUCAGGAUUGCCUAUUAAUGCACCAGAUGCGGUUUUGCAGUUGCUAUCCUGCAAGUGUGUGAGGACAUGCAAACCACCAGACUGCACCUGUCUCAGCAAUGGGCUAAAGUGCAAAAACCUGUGCAAAUUACAAACUUGUGCCAACCAGUACAGUGAGGAAGAGCCCCUUGCACACCCGGCAGACUCAGAUGUAGAAGAAGAUACAGAUACUGAUGUCGAUUACUGAUGUUGAUUAAUAAGUGAUGACCAAAAGGAGCUAUGUUAACAGACCCACUGUGACUCAGUGACAGUAUUAUGUACUAAGCCAAAACUUGACAGUCAUAUUUGCUGUCACUGUUCCUUAUGGAAAGAAUAGGACUUUGAAUAGGAAUUUGAGUUUUUCUCAGAUGAUUGUAUAGAGUGUAUACAUCAGUAGAUCUUAUUUUGUUGCUAAUGUCUUCUUGCCCUGCACCAGCCAGGAUGAUUGUUUAUUGAGUGCCUGCAUUGAAAAUAUGUCAGUGUCAUAUUAAGGUUGUGUUAUUAUAAUGCUAUUAGUCUGCAUUUACUUUACUUCUACUUCUAUGUCAAAAAAUAUCCUUAAUUUAGACCUUGAUUUAGACCUGGCGAUUGGCUAAUUGAAGCUUAUAUAUACACACCUGUAUUAGAUAAAUUACUUGAAAUACUACUUAGGGGGUUAUUACAAGUCUCUAUGGCUAGCCAAUAGUUCAAACACACCUAAAUGACAGGUUAAAAUGAAAGAAAGCUAAUUUUGAAGGAAGGCGAUUUUUCAUUUUUGAACAGCUGCACUCUAUUACUUUAAUGAGUGAUAACUACAAUAAAGCUACCAGUUACCAAGGUCUAUCAUAUAAAAACUUAUUGUAGGGAUGUAUAGCAAUAAAAACAUCACAACUAGAAUUUGCCCACCCAGGUGGUACCGAUAUGUGAAAUUUUGGUUCUUGGCUCAAGGACUAAAUGAGUGAAGGUGGAGCAAGGUUGUCCAUAGUACAAAACACAAUUCUAAUGAAGUUGGGAAGAUGUGUAAAUUGUAAAUAAAAACAGAAUACAAUGAUUUGCAACUUCUUUUUAACCCAUAUUCAAUUAAGUAUACUACAAAGUAAAAAUAUUUAAUGUUCAGACUGAUAAACUUUUUUUUUGCAAAUAAUCAUUAACUUUAGACUUUGAUCGCAGCAACACAUGAUGAAGUUGGGAAAGGUGGCAAAAAAUACUGAGAAAUUCGAGGAAUGCUAAUCACACACGUAUUUGGAACAUCUCACAGGUGAGCAGGUUAAUUGGGAACAGGUGGGUGCCAUGAUUGGGUAUAAAAGCAGCUUCCCCAAAAAUUCUCAGUCAUUCACAAGCAAGGAUGGGGUGAGGUUCACCACUUUGUGAACAACUGCGUGAGCAAAUAGUCGAACAGUUUAAGAACGUUUCCCAAAGAACAAUUGCAAGGAAUUUAGGGAUUUCAACAUCUAUGGUCCAUAAUAUCAUCAAAAGGUUCAGAGAAUCUGGAGAAAUCACUGCAUGUAAGCGGCACGGCCGGAAACCAACAUUGAAUGCCUGUGACCUUCGAUCCCUCAGGCAGCACUGUAUCAAAAACUGACAUCAAUGUGUAAAGGAUAUCACCACAUGGGCUCAGGAAAACCACUGUCAGUAAAUACAGUUCGUCACUUCAUCUGUAAGUGCAAGUUAAAACUCUACUGUGCAAAGCAAAAGCCAUUUAUCAACAACAUCCAGAAAUUCCGCUGGCUUCUCUGGGCCCAAGCUCAUCUAAGAUGGAUUGAUGCAAAGUGGAAAAGUGUUCUGUGGUCUGACGAGUCCACAUUUCAAAUUGUUUUUGGAAAUAGUGGACGUUGUGUCCUCCGGGCCAAAGAGGAAAAGAACCAUCCGGACUGUUAUCGCCGCAAAGUUCAAAAGCCAGCAUCUGUGAUGGUAUGGGGGUGCAUUAGUGCCCGAGGCAUGGGUAACUCACACAUCUGUGAAGGCAACAUUAAUGCUGAAAGGUACAUAAAGGUUUUGGAGCAACAUAUGCUGCCAUCCAAGAAAUGUCUUUUUCAUGAACGCUCCUGUUUAUUUGAGCAAGACAAUGCCAAGCCACAUUCUGCACGUGUUACAACAGCGUGGCUUCGUAGUAAAAGAGUGCGGGUACUCGACUGGCCUGCUUGCAGUCCAGACCUGUCUGCCAUUGAAAAUGUGUGGCGCAUUAUGAAGCGUAAAAUGUGACAACGGAGACUCCGGACUGUUUAACAACUAAGGCUGUACAUCAAGCAAGAAUGGGAAAGAAUUCCACCUUCAAAGCUUCAACAAUUAGUCUCCUCAAUUCCCAAACGUUUGAGUGUUGUUAAAAGGAAAGGUGAUGUAACACAGUGGUAAACACGCCCCUGUCCCAACUACUUUGGCAUGUGUUGCAGUCAUGAAAUUCUGAGUUAAGUAUUAUUUGCAAAAAAUAAUUAAUAAAUAAAGUUUAUGAGUUUGAACAUUAAAUAUCUUGUCUUUGUAGUGUAUUCAAUUGAAUAUAAGUUGAAAAGGAUUUGCAAAUCCUUGUAUUCUUGUGUUUAUCACAAUUUUCCAAAUUUUGUAUUAUACAGUUUAUAGUCAGCCCCUGCAGAGCCUAUAUGAAUCAGCCUACAACAGACAUAUGCCAAGGCUAGCAGACAACAUUGUUGCUGACCCUAACCAUGUUCUAAACAGUGAGUAUGAACAGUUACAGUCAAAUUUUGGAAACAGGGUCUGACUGUUUUAUGAAGUCAGACUGAAGCUCUCUUAGGUUCAUCAGUCGGUUAUAAAGUUAAUCUCAAAAAAGUAUGUUGGUAUGUUUUUAUCUUAUUACAAUACAGAGGCUAUUUUUGUUUACAUCCUUACUUCUUUUGUUAAGUUUAUGUGUACUAUCCGGCUUCCCUCUAUCUCAUAUAUGCUGUUCACUUUCAGGGUCAAAGCCUAGUGUGCAAACUGAGGAGCAUGUGGAGAAUGCCGGUUUGGGUCCUAUUAAGGUGCAUACGUGCAGGAUAAAAACAAUCCUUAACCACGUUAUCAUGGUAUGUUAGUCAGACUUUAAAGUAAUUACUCUAAUAUGUUAACAUAAUUCCAUAUAGUCCAGUUUUAUUCGUUCUAAUGUGAUAUUUUAUUGUGUAAAUACACUAUGAUAUUGGUUUAGCGCCAUCCUAAGUCAUAGCUUUUCUUUCUUUCUUUCUUUCUUUUUUUUUUUGUUGUUGUUUCAGCAAAUGAUCUUUCAAGUCUCCGAUAUCAGUGCAGCCCUAGCUUGUUACUAAAGUGCUUUCACACUCUUUUUUUUGCACAUUUCCCCCUGGAUCCUUUUAUGUUCACACAACAGUGUUGUAAAGCACUCCAUCACAGGGCUGUCCUCAUGCUAUUAAGUCACAGCCUCUUUUUCCCCACUGCAAGGGUAAAUGACUACAUACUGGGAAGCUGGCUCCAAGAUGCCAACUACCAUUAGCCAAUUAACCUCCCAACAAAAUGAGUUGAUUUACUCAGAAUAUAUUUUGUACAUUUGUGACAAUGCUCACAAAAAUGCAGCAAUGUUCAAAAUUAUGAGUCAAAGCACAAACAAGUAUGAGUCUGAUUGCUCUGCUCAACAGUGUCACCUGAAGGUCAAAAGGACUCCAACAGCUGUGAAGGUAUGAGAACAGCUGAGCAAAAGUGCAGGUUCCACUGAUAAAAAGGACAAAGUCCUGAUGGUUCAAUAAACUGCACAAAACCAUCAGGAUGAACGUAGUUGAAGAGCCAGUAGAUGUUGUCAAGUCCUGUGGUGUUUCUACGGGACCAUCCCUUUUGCUGAAAUUAAUUUAGAUGGAGAUGGUGAGUCAAGUUUGUCUGAAACUAGUGUACCCAUCCUUGAAGUGUAAUGAGUCAAACACCUUUUUGCUUCAGUUCUUGCUGAUUGGGUUUUGGCUCCAGGGUCUAAUUCAGAGCCAGCUGAGACCACCUCCUUUAAGCAACCUCAGCCUGCCUUUUUUGUUCCACAACACUUGCUGCAUUCACAAAUGCCCAAAGGAUCCAAAAGUUAUAUCUCUAACGAAAGGUUUUGGCUUUAUUUAGGUCUUAUCUUUAGGGGACAGUAUUAUCAGGCCAUAAGCAGGUUAUUAACCUUCAGUGUGUCCCAAAUUUAAGAAUCGAUGGGCUUUGAAAAGCCAACUUUUCAAACUUCUACAUCAUCUGUUUAUGGCAUGCCUCGUUCAGCAUGAACUUUCCCCCUCUUUACCUACAUGUGUAAAGUACAGUUAAAUGCUUAUGCUGACCUGACUCCACACACAGGGGAUAUGUAUGUGAACCAUAGUCUGUAUAUACGAGACACUUAAGUGAGUGUUGUGUGGUGGUGGUCGGAGAGGCUGUAGGUGCAAACUGGCAGCCAACCCAGGGCAGCUGUGACUACUAAGGUAGUUUACCCCCACCAAGGUGUGACUGUGAGUGAAUGAAUGAAUGUAAAGUGCUUUGAGGGUCUCUGAUAAAAUGCUAUAUGAAAUCUGAUGCAUAAUUAUUAUUUAUUAUUAUUAUGAACAACUUGGCUCCACCUUGGUGAUACAAAUUUUAAGCCAAGUUGCUCUUGUUGUUUCUGUGAUUUUCCCCACUUCCUGGAACCACCACUUGUGCAGUAGUGUUGCACACAUUCAACGGAUGAGAGUCGCUGAGAGUCACUGCGAUGACGUUCUACUCAAACAGUAUAUCCCCCAAUAAAAGUGAGCUACACAAUGUUCAUAUGCCCAUAGGCUGUAUCAAAUGUCAAUCAUAGAAAACAUGAACCCCUAAUAACUUUUCAGGUGGAGUUGCACGGAAAAAAGAGGACUUGAGCACAAACCAGUCUUACAGUAGCUGCAUGUAAACUUUGCAACCGGGGGGGUAUAUUCUGUGUAAUUAAUUUCUAGAGUUUGUCCACAGCUCCAUAGGGAUUGCUGGAGGAGGCGGGAUUUAUGACCUAUACUGCAGCCCGUCACCAUAGGGUGCUGUUCUCACGGUGGCUUCAUGGUGGAGUCAGAUGGCAUCCAUUCUAUAUACAAUCUAUGAUGUGAACGACUUUAUUGAAUAAUGACUUUUAUGAGGUUAAUUUACAAUUCUGAUUGAUGUUAGUUAAAAGAAGUUGUGGCUCAACACACAGGGUUACAUUUCACAGAGGACAGACCUGAUGUCAUUGCUGCCUAUUCCGAGAUAACUCAUUUGUUAUCUCGGCUCAAAUGUAGUUAUCGGACCUUAAAAAAAGAAACACACUAUCCAAACCUAAAGGCUUCAUAUCUAAUCCAUAACCCAUAAAAUUAUAGGCACCAAAGUUGGCAAAAGUUGGGUUGUUUAUCUACCGUUGGUAAGAAAGCAAUAAAUAAUUUGCUUCUUUCUUAUAGAGCUGUAUGCACUUUCUUCUUUCAGUUUAACUUGAGGAUGAUUGGAUACAUUAUUUACAUAUAGCCUCCAUUUUAAAGAAGUGGAAAAAAGAUACACUUACUAAAAGAAUAACAAGCUCAUUAGAUUUGUCUUAAGUCUACCAAUUAGUUUGAAUUAAGAAUAAAUCAUUACAUAGAGUUCAUCUUAGUUUGCCAGCCUAUAUUAUGUUUAUAAAUGGAGCUCCAGAGCACUCUUAGCUUCAGGCUUGAACCAAAUAAAUCUGUGUAGAUCUUCUUAUAAAGCACAUUGAGGAUCCAGAGGUUAUAUUUUGAUUGGUAUCUGAUUUAAUUUCACGAAAAAAUCCAAUCCUUUUAAUGGAAUUAUAACAGAGAUUAAAAACCUGAUAUGCUUUCCAGCAGUUACAAAAGAAAAUGUUGUAAGAUAAAAUGAAAUAAAUAAAUAAAUAAAUGUUUGGCAGUCUUAAACGCUGGCAUAAUCCAUGUUUUUCAUCUCUGCCUGUUUACUCAUUUAUUAACUCAAGCAAAUGCAGAGAAAAAGUGUCCUUGCAAUGUUUUGACAGAUAUUUUAGCAGAAGCGUUUCCCAGCCGUUAAUUUAAACGGAUGACUCAGACAAACUCUUUCAUCCCACAUUUGAACAUUUUCACAGUCAUUUAGACACACCCCUGCAGUGCCAAAGCCACUGACCUGUCACAGCACUUUCAUAUCUAAUGGAUGUUCUACAAGUGGCUGUAUUUGUCCUGAUAUUUUUAAAGAAGAGAAAUCACUGAGGAAGUCAAAACAGUCAGGUAUAAUUCUUUUAAAAGCGCCCGUCUAGUUUAGUUCAGCUUGCAAUUUCAGGUUUAUAUAAGGCCACUGGCCACCCCAGGAUGACCAUCUUCCAACCCCAUGAGAACAAAGGAGUCUUUUGAGGACAGAUGGGGCAGAGCAAAGACACUUAGGGGUCCCAUUAAAAAAAAAGAAGAAAAAAAAAGGGGUGGGGGGGUUACCUGCCUUACAUACUUACUGUAUGUGUAAUGUAUGUGUAUCAUAGUAUGUCAUACUCCUGUCUAGCAAUCCCCAUGUGUGGAGGUAAAAGCCCCUAUACAGUUUUUCUGUAGCCAACUGAAUUACGGUGUCUCCAAAGCUGUGGUGGCUUGAUAGGAGUGAUUUACUUUGACAUGAAGGUAAAACCAUUCCCACACUGAAAUAAAGUGACUUUUUGGUGCAGUAAACUCUAUCAGAGUAACUGUCAUAAUUUCUCACUUGUAUUUUUAAGAUUCAGUAAGAACUAGAGUUUCUUAAGUAAAAAAAAAAAUAUUUUUUUUUAAUGUAUAACAUAAAAUAUAGGAGAGAGUAAGUUUUACUUAGGUUUACUUAUACUAUUUAAAUGUUUAAUAAUUGUAUGUACAUAAACCUACAAAUACUGCAUAAGCUUUACUCUGAAAGUAUAGCAUUUUGAAACCCAUGCAUGACACACGUGCACUGUAGCCUACAACAGGACUGGCUCUGCUCCAAGUCUGGACGUUACAGGAUCACAAAGCAAGGUGUAGCACUAAGGGCAGUCAUUUUGCAGGUAAGUUAUUAUCGUUCUGCUUUAAAUACAGUAUCAGGGCUCUCAAGUCUCACGCAUUCAGCGUGUGACACAUGCAUUCUCACCCGCUCACACAUUGUAUUUCUCACGCAUUUAAAUGAACAUGGUACAAGAACAAGAUGUACAAGAUGGUAAAUCUUGUGAGUUAUUUCUCUCAGUGCAUUAAUCAAGCAAGUCAGCUCUUUCUGAAACUACCAUGGUUUGGCAAGGCUUGAUCCAAGAGACAAAUAGAUUCGGUUAAAGUUAUGGAAGACGUUUCACCUUUCCUCCAACAGGUGUCUCUGGUUCUGAAAGUUGACUGGAGUCAGAUCUAAAAAUAUAAAGCCUCUGUGACCAUGAAUAUAGUAAUGAUCUAAAUCAUUUCUGGGAAUCUUGGAAGAGUCAGUGACCGAGCUUUCUCAGGGUGUGUGUGAUAAGACUUCGGGUCACAUGAUGGAAGUGUUUGGAUUGUUUAGUAAAGGGAUCUAAACAAAGUCAUAAAUAUCUUCGUUCACCAGCAAUGUUCAAUAAUGGUGGUUUCAGUUUGACACAGAUGACUUCAUCAACACUUUUCUCAAACCAGCGGUCUUCCUGGCCAUAUGCAAACUUUACUGUCAUCAAAGAAGAGUCCUGUAUCCUCUAAAGGUGAAGGUGAACAGCUAAACUCUGUCCAGAGCACUUGGCUCUACUGUUCUGGGCCAUGCGUUUGAGUAGGAUUGUAUGCAAAAACAAAACGAUAAAAAAGCAGUGCGUAGUUUCGUGUUUGGUGAACCAGUUUCUGUCUUUGAGUAUCAGAGUUUUAAAUGUGCCAGACUUUUUUGUUUGCGGCAGAUCCUCCAGAGUUUUUCAGACAGGUCAGGAAUAGCAAUGUCUUGGCCCUAACUCUUUUUAUCUGUGUCUUAAAGGUCUUGAUGGAGCCUCAGUUUGGGUAUCCCUGAGAUUUUCCUGUCAUUACAGUAUUACACUUGAUCUUGAACAUACAAAUAUCAAUGGAGAGAGAAUAGAAAUAGGAAUGAAACAGAAAACUGUGAAGCGGGGUCUUCAGGCUCCUUUGCCAUGCUUGUUUUGGUGUUUUUCCAUCUCUCCAUCUCUUUGCAUUUGUCUGUGCUCUCACCCUCUCAGACAAAUUCCCCACUGUGUCAGGUCACUGAUGAGGUUGGAAACUGAGAGGCUGCUGAUCACCCAGAGACCAAAUUUGGGACAUAUUGUAAACAGACAGAAAUUCCUUGUAAUGUUUUGUUUUGCUGGAUUCAUGUGUUUCACUUGAGGGACUGAUGUCUGUAAUACCUGUUUGAAUGGUUUCUUUGAUUACACCAGCCAGCCUGUUUUGUCAUCCUCAUCAUCUCUCUAAGAAGAGCACAUCUCCACAAUAUAAUCAUGUAGUUUUACACGGCUUUAUGAACAAUCACAACAGGGAUAAUAAUAUGUACUCAGAGAGCAGUAUUUUUAAUGAGCCCUGCUUCUUGCAUAAAGCUAUGUUUUUAUUGGUGUCCCAGGCUGACAGAUUAAAGAAAGGGCAACUUUGAUGUCUGUGCUUUUGUCAUUCCUCACUCCAGCUCCUUAUGUCACAUUACUUCAGCAGCUGCCAAAGAGUGUCUUUCCCCUCUCAUCUCUCCCUGUCCACUGACUCAACUAUGAAAAGAUCUAUGUGAAACCUGUAAGUAAGGUCUUUAGCUUUCCAGCAACCAGUUCACUGUAUACAUGCUGGUUUCCAUGAAAAACCACUGAUUAUCAACCACCAUUUUUUCUUAAAGCAUGAGAAGAGAUCCUGUCUGUUCUCAUGCUUUCAGAAAAAAAAAAAAAGUUUUAGAAAUGGUUUAGUGAAAUGGGCAUAGAUUGUCUUCAAGCUGGGUGGCUACACAACACAUGCACCAUUGAGACUCUUAGCCUUUGUCUGUGCAUGACUCUCAGCUCAGUGGUAUAAAUGCAGAUUGGAGUUUGAGUUGUACAAACAUUUCUGGGAGGCAAUGUUAUCCUAGAAGCAGAAAUAAUCUCAUUUAAUGAGAUAAAGCUCGGUGGGAUAAGCAGAAGAAAGCACAGCUUUUUUAGCCAAGGAUAAUAACACACUGGAGCCCUUCUGGAGAAUGGAAAAGAGAGAAAUAUAUGAUUCUACAAAGCCAAAAAUUAGACAGAGUUGCAAAUUCAUUUAACUUUAGUUUUUAUCCCCAUUAAUACCACUCCAAUUAGUGUAGGGUUACUUGUUCAAUAGAUGGGGAUUUAACAGUUAUUUAUUUGUUGAAUCGACUUUGUGCACAGCAGUAUAAAUCCCAUUUAUGCUUGACAUUACUUUUGUGGGUUUAUUUACUUUCCUCCUUAUUUAGAUGUUAGUCUCUUUAUACACUUAUAUCCCGCUCCUCAUUGCAUUUUUUACCUCGUGUUUUUCCCACUGUUCCACCUGUAUAUCCCUAUGAUCAGAUUUUACACUUUUGAGACAUGAAAAAGUUAGGUACUUAGGUUAGACAUUGAGUACUGAUAACAAGACCACCAGUGACACAAUGAAAGAGGAUGGAGUAUGGAGUAGGAAGAAAAGGUGCUCAGUGUAGUCUGACCCUAUAGCAGCAUAACUAAGAUCUGGACCAGGCCUGAUUUAGCAUAAAGGGACAUUUGGAGCCUACUCAAAAAGGUGAAGAGGGGGACUGUCAGCCAAGAGACUACAGAGUUGUGUCAUUUCCAACUGUUUGCCUGUUUCUUUAUUGGUCAAAAGACAUGUUAAGUCGGCAUUCCCAAUAUGGUCACCACCAUCUUGGACUUCAGAACCCCUCUUCAGAUGGGUUAUGUCAAUGAGACCAUGGGCUCUAUUUUCGUUCGCGCCGGUGAGGCGGCGGAGGGCGGCGAGCCCCGCGCAGUUGUAUUUUCGUCUGGCGGAGCCCGGCGUAAGGCGAGUUUGGUAUUUUCGUGGACUGAGUCGCACGGAGGCGAGCCGAGAUCCGCCAAGCUGGGCGUGGUGGCGUGGCAGGGGGAGGUGUUGACAGAAUCAGCUGGCGCAGUGACAUUUUCGUGCUCGCCACCGGCGUGUAACGUGCGCUGAAAGCUCGCCGAUUCAAACCUGGUCAGCUUUCAGCGCAAGGCGGAACGCAGCUGGUCUAGUAGUAUUUUGGUAGACCGGCGGCGUAUCGACAUACGUCACUGAUGCCUCACCGGCAGGUUUCCACAGUGUCAGGCACAUUUCAGUGCAAUAAAUAAUCAUCAUCAACUAUUAAUCUGAGUCAGCACAUACAUUUAGAUCUAUUUCGAUAUAUUCUGAUCUAUAUCUGAUCUGAUGAGCGCGUUUGGCACGCGUUUGGGCACACAACCUGACUGAAUCAAUACAGCUGAAACUGCAUCAAAUUAAAUUAAAUAUCUAGUAAAUAUACACACAUGAUGAAGUUAACAAGAUAUGUAAUGUGUCUCCCUCCUUUUCUUUCUUCCUCUUAUUUCUCGCACAGCUCGACCUGGACACGUCUCCGUGUCCUCUGUCCGUCUUGCUUGCUGCUGCGGCUGAACAGCUGAUUUGUUUCAGUGCUCAGAUGCGUUAUCUACUUUAAGCCGACAUACGGAUAUUAUAAUAUUCAGUUUUGUGGGCCAAAUUUAUUUUAUAUGCCAACAUCUAUGAAAGAAAGAGCCAGGCCACGGAGCGCGAUGCGUCAUUUACGCACAGAUGGUUCCGAUUUUAAUGCCAUUUUUGGAGUUUAUGUUGUGAUCUGUGCGCUAAACCCACCUUUGUCACGUGAGGUUUGAAUAUAUGCAACUUUAUGUGAGUGUCUUUUUUGUGGAAAAGGGUGUUUGUCUUACCAGUGGGUCCAACAUUACGCACACCAAAUCUAUCUGUGCUCAUAUGAGAGAGUGUGGAGGACACUUGUUGAGCAGCUGCCCUCUGUCGCCAUCGUGUGGCAUAACUGUCUUCAGACAUCUCUUGAUCUCUUUGACUACUUCAUGAAAAUAGUAAUACGCCUCGCCGGUGGCGGAUUUAAAGGCAAGGAGAGGAGCUUAUGUGAUUGGUGAAAACAGGUCUCGGCUGUGUUAAACCGACUCCAUGCCCUCUCUCCUCCCCGUCUAUGACUUAUGCUGCCGGGAGGAGCUGAGUUAGGGAGGGGGGAUACUUACGCCAGGCUGCGCGGCUCACCAAAAUACCAAAAUGUGCUUGGGAACGCCUUGUCAGCGCGGCGGAUCUGAUUGACGCUGCGCUUGCGGCACGUCUUCGGCGAGGCACCAAAAUAGAGCCCCAUAUGUACAUAUUUCACUCAGUCUGUGGGCAGAAUUCAAGUUAAAGGCUUUAGUUUCCCAAAUUUUACAUAAAUGACUAAAAGACCAAAGGCAAGCCAAGAGAAAGCCCAUCAAGUACCCCCCUCUGUUUAAAACAGGACUCAAACAAUAAAGAAAUGUUUUUUAGAGACUUCUAUGAAACAGCUGUGUUGAGUACAUAAUGUUGUCUGUCUUUUUCCUUGUUCUGGUUAAUAAAGUACAACAGAGGAAGAAGCCAGUCAUACACAAGAAACAGUGCCACGAUUCAGAUGUACAGAUGCCUGCAGCAGCUGAGUUGACCAGAAGUAUAACAAUCAAAAUGUGUCGCUGUUGUGGUGUGAGCAGUAUCAUAAACACUGCAGUGUAAUUCACAGUUUUCCUUCGGGGGGUUACUUUUUUGGCCAUAUGAAAUGUUUCAGUGCUUUAACUUGGCAAUCUGAGAGCUGGCAGAGUCUUUAAAUGUCCUAUAGAUGGGUAUGCGGCUCCGCAGAAGGACUCUGACAUAAUAGAACUCAACAGCAAAAUGAAUGCACUUCUCCCUUAGUGCUCUUCUGGAAGCCCCACUCUCAUAUUCAUGAGCUCGCAUUGCCAGGAAAAGUUAUCAAACAACAAGCUAAUAAAAAGCAAUCUGGCAGAAUUGUCUGCCUUUGCUUCCAGAUGAUAUAUCAGUCUCAAUUCAUCAUAUUCACAUGAUAACAAGGUUUCUCUGACACCGUAUCUUAUGCUGUCAUAUCGUGAUAGCAUUAUUAUCAAAGGGGGGUAUAACUGUAAGGGGUAAAGCCCAGAGAGCAGAACCAAUGCCGCAUGUGACUUCAAUUCUUGAUCACACUUGAGAGCAGUAUAAUCAAAGUCAUACAUGCCUUAAAGGGAUAUUCCAGUGUAAAUUUAAGUUACGGUCAAACAAAUGUUGCAGACUGCUUGCUUCUCUAGUUAUAACAACUUUAGCAAUGACCACAUGAUAGCAAUACACAGCAGUUGGUCUCCACACUUGAACCCAACCAAAAAGUCACUCUAUAGCCACAAAUAAUGCUCAGAACAGCACCUAACUUCAUCAACAGGACAUGUAGGGUCCCAGCCAUAGUACUAGCCGCCAAACAUCUUUUUAGCUUUGCCUUUAUUUCUUUAGCAAAGAGACUAAACACAACACAACUCACCACAGAGUUUCUCAGCUCAAGGAAGAAAAUUUAUGAGUAUCACUUCAUGGGAAUGCAAUCAGAGUUCUUGUGUAUCUUGUAUGUCAGUUUAUAACUGUUAUUAUUAAGUGCUGGCCGGGAAAUGAGCCCAGAUGAGCAUUUCUAACUACAUAUUUACAGGGGAAAAUCACAUCAACAAAUACAUGAUUUUAGGUGAUGUCAAACGCAAGAUCACAUCGACCUGUAAACAUUUAAGCAGACAAGAGACAACUUUUUUUUUUUUUUUCAGCUGAGGCUUCUCGCCAAAGUUAAAUCCUAUUUAAGCCAGAAGGACCUUGAAAAGGUUAUUCACGCUUUUAUCACAUCUUGUUUAGAUCACUGUAAUUUCCUGUAUGUUGGCAUUGGCAAGUCAGAGCUCAACCGCUUGCAGCUCAUUCAGAAUGCUGCAGCUGGUCUCCUAACUGGGACUAAGGAAUGAGAGCACAUAACUCCAGUGCUUGCCUCUCUUCACUGGCUCCCUGUUAGGUACAGGAUUGAUUUUAAGAUUCUUUUAUUUGUUUUUCAGUCUCUGAAUGGGCUGGCCUCGGAAUAUGUGUCUGACCUUGUUAAACUGCGCCGGCCCUCCAGAGCCCUGAGGUCAGCAAAUCAGGUGGUUUGAGACAUUCCUCAAUCCUUUUUAAAAUCCAGGGGAGAUCGAGCAUUUUCUGUCGUGGCUCCCACUUUGUGGAACGCUUUACCCCUGGCAGUGCGCACUGCUAACAGCCUUUCCACUUUAAAACACUUCUGAAGACGCACCUGUUCACUUUAGCUUUUGGGGAAGUAGAGCUACUUUUAUUGGGUGUUUUAUUUAUUUGCUAUGCUUAUCUAUAUUGUUGUUUUAUGUUUUUAUAUUUUGUUUGCUUUUAUUGUUUUUAUAGUUUGUGGCUAUUUUACUGUAAAGCACUUUGGUAGGCUACUGGCUGUUUUUAAAUUUGCUAUAUAAAGCUGACAUUGACAGUGACAACAAGGAUGCAUUUAUGGAGAUGGACAACAACUAUGAGUGGCUUCUUUUAGAUAGGUAACCCUAUCAGUUUGAGCCAGAAUCCACAGAGGAAGAGCUGAAGGAAAUGAAGGAGAAAAAUGCUAUGGAGGGAGAACUGCCUGUGGAGCCUGAAGAGUCUCUGUGCUCUGGGAUUUGGUGGUGUGGCUGUGGGCACUGUCUGCCUAUGGCCACUCAAGUGAAUGUUCAUAGUGCCAGGAGUUGGACGUGUUUCAGCAGUGCCUGAGUGCUGUAGUGGACACAUAAACUCACUGCAUAACAGCCAUGGAAGAGUUUCAAACUGUCAUCCACCCUACCGUAGUGGAGACAUUUUUUAUGUCCCUAAAAUAAACAGGAAGAAAUGGCCAACUCCAGAGGGGCCAAACGGUCAGUUAUCCACCAUAUUUUUUUCUCAUGGUUGCAUGGUUUAAAUUUACAAACAUUCACGAUAAGCUACGCAUGUUAACUGUUUAUAAACACUCACUUAUUUCUGAAUCUUUUUGACUAGAGAAUGCCAGUAGAGACAAGUACCCAUCCCUGACUGGAGAAUACUAUGGAUUUCAGGAGGCAGAGGACAUGUCACAAAUAUGGUAACAUUAUUUACUCCAUUUACCUUUAGAUAUACAUUGAUGUUAACAGACCAUCGCUAAAUAUAUGUCAGCAAGAGAAAAUAAGGGAUUAGUUUUAGGGUUGAAAACAUUUGCAAGAGUCACAACUUCAGUGCAAAAGCAAAAAAACAAAUCACAGUUGGAUUAUUCACUUUAAGUUUUUGGCUUUUGAGAGUCUGCAUACAAAAAUCUUAAUAAAUCUCAACCGCGUUCAAACUACCGCAGAAAUGGUGAGAAAGAAGCAACUGAGUAAAGAAACAAAAGUACAGAUUUGUACAUUGAGGAAAGAAGGAUACACAGAAAGAGAAAAUUGCAAAACGCCUAAUGGUGUCUAACAAAGGAGUCCACUACACUCUGAAGAGACUAGAGGAACCUGGAAGUUAUGAUGAUAGAAAAAGACCUGGACAAAAGAGAGUUACUACAAAAGCAGAGGAUAAACAUAGCAUUGUCACCAGUAAGAGAGAUCGGCGAAAGACAGCACCAAAAAUAAGGGAGAAAAUCAACAUGACAAGGUCAAAACCCGUAUCUCUGACAACCGUGAAAUGACAUUUGAGAAAGGCUGGUCUGAAGGGUUGUGUAUCUGCAAAAAAACACUACUUCAUCCACAGAACAAGAAAAAGAGAUAUGAGUGGGCAAAAGCUCACAAAAAUUGGACUAAUGAUGACUAGAAACAAGUUUGCACUGUUUGGUUCAAAACGCAGAGUCAGUGUCUGCAGACAAACUGGUGAAUGUCUGAAAGCACCACGUGUUACACCCACAAUUCAGCAUGGAGGUGGUAGUUCCAUGGUAUGGGGAUGUUUCGCAGGUGAUGGAGUAGGAGAUUUGUUUGAAGUAAAGGGUAUCAUGAAGAAGGAACAGUACCACUCCAUCCUCCAGCAUCAUGCAGUUCCAUCUGGAUUAAGACUUGUGGAUCACAAGUUUGUUUUGCAGCAAGACAAUGACCCUAAGCCAGGGGUCGGCAACCCGCGGCUCUGGAGCCGCAUGCGGCUCUUUCUUCCCUAAGCUGCGGCUCCCAAUGGAUUUGGAAAAUAAAUAAUAAAUACUUAAUUGCAUUUUAUUUUAUUUUAUUAUUAUUAUUAUUAUUUUGUAAUUCUAAAUUCAAAGAUUAUAAUGCUCUUGUAACAUUAAAUAAACUAUUAAGGCUGCAACAACUAAUCGAUUAAGUAGAUUCGUCGUGACGAAAAAAAUCAGUUGCCAACAAAUUCUAUAAUCGAUUCGUCGGGUCUUUAUAUAUGUCCAUGGACACCGGCGUGUAAACAUCAGCAGGACGCACAGAAAAGAAACAGCCAUGGCCGAGGCAGCGGCUGAGAAAAACAUGGACACAACCCAACCCAAAUCCCGACCUAAAACAUCAGUGGUGUGGGAAAACUUCACCAAGACCGAAAAGGAAGGCUUUCAGUGCGACAUUUGCAAAGACCGUUUUGCAUGGCACGGGAGUACAUCGAUGAUGCGUGAGCACAGGGCUCUCAAGUCUCACGCAUUCAGCGUAUGACACACGCAUUCCCACUGGUUCACACGCUCACACACCACACAUUGUAUUUCUCACGCAUUUAAAUGAACACGGUGAUGUCCACCAAGUUGCACUUCUUCAACUAUGGAACUGGGGGAAAUCAACUGAGUUCCUCCGAGAGUUCAGAAGCUGCGUGCCACGCACAAGCCAAUCAAAUAAAGUAUAUCUACUGAACAGCCAAUCAAAAAGCAGCAUUGCUGUAUCCGGGUAGAUUUUGAUAUCUUGCGGUUUAACUACAGAAGAAGACAGACACUCGCCGAAAUAGUUCAUUUAUUUCAUAAAUGCAACUCGCUACAGUUUUUUAUAUACUUUGUAUAAAGGUAAAAAAAAAAGAUAUAUGCAAUGUUAUCUUCAUUUUAGAUGUCAAAGAGGUUUUGUGGCUCCCUGUGUUUUCUUUUCUGUGGGAAACUGGUCCAAGUGGCUCUUUGAGUGUUUAAGGUUGCCGACCCCUGCCCUAAGCACUCUGCCAAGCCCUUUUGGGGUUACCUAGACAAAAAAGAAGAGGAAGGUGUUCUUCAAAAGAUGCUUUGGCCCCCUCAGUCUCCAGACCUUUCCAGACAACACACAGCCAGCCAGCAAUCAAGCAGGCGGGCAGAGUCUCGUGGUUUGCUCACAGCGAAUGAAUGAUAUGUAUCAGUCAGUCUUUGAAUGACAUGUAUCAGUCAAUGAAUGAAAUGUUUCAGUAAGUCUGUGAACGACAUGUAUCAGUCAGACUGUAAAUGAAACAAACAACUUCCGAAUGACUAGAGGCAGGCAGAGGAGGGAGGUGUGUAGCGUCAUUCACAAACUGCCGAGCACCAGUUCGUUCACUGUGAGGAUGAACGUAGGCUAAGAUAAAACAGUGCAUUAUCGUGCCUUUACAUUAAUACACGUGUAUAAUCACGUGCUGCAUGCUGCUGUGUUGUUUUGUCCUCCGACGACACAUAGAGGUGAGUUUUUUAGGGCAGGGGAGUGAUUCUAUCUUCAGGACUUGGCGAAUGAUCACCAUAUGUCACCAAGUAAACUUAGGACUUACAACUGAGGAUAACUGGCUCAAAAAAUACAGAUAAUGGCCCUCAUUUAUCAAUCUUGCGUAGAACUGAGCGCAGGAUAUAAAGUACGGUAGGACACGUGAGAUUUAUGAAAGGGUUCAUAUCUGACCAAUCCCAGCGUACAUAUGAUCAAGUCUUGAUAAAUGCGGCGGCUGAAAUCAAUCAUCAUUACCAUGUCAUGCUCUUAAAUAUACGUGGUUCAGAAGCCUCGCCCAAUGACGUCAAACAUGAAAGAGGAGAAAUAUUACAAAGGAAACUUUUCCGAGCUGAAAGUGGCCAAUUAGUCGAUAAGUUGCUCUUGAUGAUAAAUUAAUUUCUCAUACAUGCCUCAUAUUUUUAUUGCCAUUACAUAGGGUAUGUUGCUCCUGUUGUUUAAGGUUUUAAUUUGUUGCGUCUUUGUAAUGUAGAGCAGACUGGAGAGUCUGACAGAGGCUGAACAAAAAUAAUUAUUAAUGUCACCAAACGGUGAGUUGCUGCCCCCGAGGCCCCUUUCUUAUGGAUUUCUAUUAGAUUUUUAUCACUGAUUAAAUUGCAAGAGCACUUUCUAAACUUGUACUUUACAUCAGAAUCCAUGGAUAAGGUCCUGUCUCCUCUGUACAGCACCUUUGUGGAGUCUCUCCUCGUUAUUGUUCUCCGGGCAUCGGGUCCUCACGUUGCACCGGCACAGCCAACGGCACUCCAUUCUCCAGUGCAACAUUGUGCAAAACUGUACUGGCCCAAAUGAUGUCCCACACCCUUUCAGGAGUGAACAACAACAACGUCCCCGCUGCUGGGCCAAGACAGAGACACCUGCCUUUUAGGAGUCAAACGCAGCGCUCCACAGUGGCGCAUGUGCGUGUGUGCGCAAUAUUUAAAUGGCGCUCCUGCUCUGUGGCAGUGUUUCUGGGCAGAGUUAUCAAAUAGGCCUAUUCACUAAGGACAUAACAAAUUCAUUUUAUUUUAUUUACGUCUUAAUCUUUAAUGAAAUCUGGGUGAUUGUGCUUAGUGACAGGUUUGAGGUUAGUUUAUCAAUUAUUUUCAGUCAGACAUUUGCUGCACCGCAGAUCCACACUGACUCAAACUUGUGUACACAAUGUCAGACCUGUCUUGAGAUUUGGUCGUAGCGUACGCUCACGUGCAUUGAUAAAUGUCGAUCCUCAUGUUGCAACUUAAAUACGCAAGGUGUACAUAAGUUUUCUGCCGUACGCAAGCUUGCUAAAUGAGGGCCAAUGUGCUUAAAAAAAAACAAUUCCAUCAUAACAUUUGAGUAAGUAUUCUUUAGCAAGCAGUGACAAUGGUUUAUUCUUGUUUCCGCUGGCCAUAAAACAAAAAGUCCAAGAAGCAGCUGCAAUGAAGACUGAGUAAAAAGGUACCUGCUUGCUCCAGCGGCCAUCCAAAAGAUUUCAGGAAGAAGCAUACACAUCAUUUUACAAUAAAAGCAUGUUUGCACAACACAUGAAAUAAAUCAACCAAGAUGCAAGUAAGUAAAUCUUUUGAAUUGAAGCACCAUGAAUAGUUAUUCUAUCGAUCAAUCUUUUGUUUGGAAACUAAUGCAAAGUGUUUGUUUUAUGUUACCGAGUGUAAGGCUAUGACUGCUGCACAAAUCAUGCCAGGAAAGAUAACCAUCCAAAAAAAGAAAUACUUUGUCAGUUUGGACAAUUUUGAGUUUAGUAACACAGAUUAUUUGGGAUUUUAAAUUCUAUAUUGUCAUGAAAUGAAAGGAGCACACAAUGGCAAGACACCAAAUCACUUUGUCGAACAGACAGGGUUUAUUAGAGCUAAGGCAGAGGUCGGUGCAAAAAAGGCAGUAAAGUCAGGCAGAGGUAUCCAAAAACAAGGCAAAAAGGCAAGGUCCGAGAAAGGCAGACAAGGUAAUACACAGGUGACAAUGACUAUGAAUAAUGCUGGAUCGAGACUAUGAAGUGCAACAAACUGGUGACGAGACAGUGAGACACACAGGGUAAAACACAAGAGGUAAAAAAGGUGAUGGGAAACAGGUGGGGAGUGACAAUCAGGCUGCAGGUUUGACAAGACAGGGACAGGGCAGACCAGACAGGAACAAAUCUAGAAGACAGAAACAAGGGUUAGUGGACUACAAGAUAAAACAGUACAGACAUGACAUGAAAUAAAACAUGAAUAUGCAAAAAUGAAGGAAACAUAACCAAUGAUUAAACAGAAGUAAAAGGAAAUUUAGCGGACAUGACACAUUAAUAUUACAUUUCUCCUCAGAGAUGAAUAAAGUUCUUAUCUUAAAUAUCACAUUGAAAAUUCUAAUAUGAUUUUUUUCCCAGAAUCAUAGGUUAAAAUAUAUUGUCACAAUCCUACUGUGAAUCCUUUUUUCUUGACAUUUUGUAACAAAACAGUGUUUUUGAAUGGAUAGAUAAGCUUGAUAUGACAUGACUGUGUUUCUAAGGGUAGACCCUUAAUAUUCUACAGGUUGUUUAAACACUUUUAACACUAGAAACACCAAGGGGGUAAUUUUUUACCCCCUGCUGUUUUCAAAUGCUUGUAUUUCUGUUAAAAAAAAAAAGCCUACAUCUUAAAGUCAAUGACUUUUUCAAAAAAUUGAUUUAUUAAUCAUUCAGUGAAUUUUGGUGAGUGUGGGAUAAAAAGUCAAAUAAAAACAACCAUUUAUUCCUAGAACUGCCAAGGAGUCAUUUUUACCCCCUCAUAUAAAACAGUGUAGACAGCUGUCACUUCAGGCGCAGUGCCAUUCCUGGUUGCUUAGCACUACUCAUGUGUUUGGUGAUUGUAAAUAUAUUAUUUGAUAAUUUCAUCGUUUGUAGAACAGUUCGUACAGCUUGUCGAUAAAUGUAAAGAUGUAUAAAUUUGUGUGGGCGAGAGAGCGCAGCAUUAGGCCACUUUAUAUGUUCUUCUUAAUUUAUUAUUAUUGUAGAGAAAUCUGUUAUUUUGUUGUUGUAAAUAUAUGAUGUGAUCAUUACAAUAUUUGUUGAACAGUUUCUAGAAUUUGUUGAAUUUGAAAAUGUAUUUUACCCUUCGACUAAAAUUAUUAAUUUGCUAAAAAAAAAAUCAAAAAUAUGUAUUUUAAACACUUAUUUUGCCAUGUCUCCAUUAUUAUUUAAAAAAAAGACAAGAAUAAGUCAUCUAACACCUUCCAGAAAAGACAUUGUAGCAUCACUAAUGCUAUUGGAGCUCAGCAGUAGGUGGAUUGGAAUGCUGGCAGUGCUGAUGUUAAAGUUGAUCUUGCCAUCUGCAGAAACCUCCCAGAUUUAUUUUAGGCUAAUCUAAAUCUCUAUGCCAAUUAAUCAAGCACUCAUUGUUUCAGGAGCAUGCCUUCCAAACUGAUCAUCGACCGCCACAAUCUUUAAAAGUGAAUAUGACACGUCCUCUACUGAUAAGUAACGGGCAAUAACAGUUACAUGUUCAUGUUGAAAGCAAUGACAGAGAUGGUUUGAUCCUUGGACAAAAGUUGCUCCAAAGUUACUUUGAGAUGAGGUUGAGCCACAUGCUAUUCUCAUUCAGCUGCAAGGACUAAAAAGGCAUUUUCGUUUUGCAUAAUACCCAGGCUUCUGAGUUUUGAUUUUCUGAGUGAGGAGCUGGUGUAGCACAGCGGUAAUGCAUCCUUUUUGUCUCUUCUAGCUGGAGUAAACAGCAGUUUUUAGCCUCAUCACAGCUCAUUCUGUGGGAAUAAAUUACCCAGGUAAUUAUACACUACAGCAUUGUAGUAAACAAAGAGGAAGCACAUUGAGCUGGGUGAUGAUGGCUGAGAGGACUUUACUAAACAGCAAACUGUAUGAAUAAAAAUGAAAGACUUACAACAAUUUAGUCAUGUUCUGACCUUAGGUGUGAGCUUUUGAACUUCAGGAGGUGUAAGUCAACCUGACUCUUUUCUGAGUGUGUAGAUGUAGUGAGAUAAAACAGAGAUACUGGUGCUUUAUGUGUUAUCUGACAGAUAUGACAGAUAUGAUAAAUGACAUGGUUUUAAACUCAUACGAUUUAAACUGUAAUGCAUUCAAAGCUCAACAGCGAAACUUUAAUUGUACUGGCUGACUGUCCCAGUUAUAUCUCUUCUUAUUGGAAAACAGAACCAAACUGAAUAUAUAUCACCUUAUGUUUUAAAUUCACCUUAAGUAGGGCCGUUCAGUUUUCUGAAUGCAAAACGGGUGUAGCUAAGCUCAGGGGUACACUUUGGAUUCAAAUGCAGGUCUAUGCAUUAAGUUGAAUUCAAGACACACAGGCUUAUUGUGGUUUUUGCUUUUAUUAUUAAAAAAUAUCCAACAGUUUCUCAAUGAUCUCAGACUACAAAGUUUAACAUUGGACAUUUAAAGAAGCACGGAUUACUGAUAAGCCGAGUACCAGAACAAUGGUCCAAAUGAUUUGAGGGGGUAGGAAAUUAGACAUUUCGCAGGUUUUAACUUUUAAUUCCAUUUUAUUUUGAACUGAACUGAAUAAUUGUUAUUUCAGUUAAUGUCUUUGUUAAUGGUUCAAUAGUUAAGAGCAUUAAAAAGGAGAUGAUGAACUGUAGAAUGAUUUUAUUCUCUGCUGUAAACCUCCAAAUGUUCUGUCUCAGUUUAACAAUCCAAAUGGGAGUCUGAUCCACUUCCACAUCCCUGUCACAUAACAAAACAGUAGUUUGGCUUUGAAUUGCAGGUCACCUCUGGAGGUAAAUGCCAACUGUAAUUAGGUUUUUCCAGCUGUAACUGUGAUGACUAUCAGAUUGGAACAGUGGCAACAAUAGCAAUUAGAAACAAUUAGAACAGCAAUCAUGAAGGCAGAGAGAGGGAGUCUUCCUCAGAGUGGUACAGAGUAUGUACUGCGUCUAUAUCACCUCAAUGUUAAAGCCAGGCAAACUUCAUGUUGUGUGCGUCAUGAAGCAAGGGUUAAACAAAUGAAAGAACCCAAAAAUGCAGACAAACGAAAAAGGAUUUCUAAAAAAAGAACUUAAUAAAAGCAAAAAAAAAUUACUUUAAAAUGUCCAACUGAAAAAUUCAAAAGUCAAAAUCCAACAAAAGACACUGGGGAAAAAUCACAAGGAGAUUAGGGACUUUGAGGUGGAGUAGGCAGGAAUCCAUUUAAACAGCAUCUUUUUUUGUGGUGUAUACACGAAAAAGCUUUUAAUAUCAGUCAAUAGUUAUUAGUUAUUGAUGACAUUUGGGAAUAUCACAAUAUCACUGUUUUUUGUUGUGUCUGCGUAGUCAACAUUUUAAAUUUUUGAGCGGCCCGCUCUUUCUGACUGUCAACAAAGCCGUUCUCCACUUCCCCCAACCUGACUGGUUGUGAGGCAGAUGCUGCUCCCUCGUGCUGAUUGGUUGUGAGGCAGACGGUGCUCCCUCGUGAUGUGAGGCACGCUCCACGUCCCCCAAUAAUGUGCAUGAGCCCAAGCAAAGUUAGCGUGCUACAACAUCGGACACUGAAACCAACCAAAAAGUACAGAAAUUUUUCUGAAUCCUCCUUUGGCCACGACUGUCGACAAAAGCAAGAAAACCAAGUAAAUUCUGGAGACUCUGACGGAAUAACAGGCGCUUAAAAAGGAGGUAGACCAGACAAAAGCUAAAAAGCUGGGUCUGGGGGACACUUACGAUCUAGGAUCUUACGGACCCUGUAAUCUUUCUGUUGGAUAGUAAACCGCUUUAACAAAGUAAGCCAAAUGUCUGUAACAGAGGUGUUUUAUGUCAAACGGGACCUGCUGCGUGUUGUAGCGCCGCUAAACCUCGGGUCCUGGACUAUGUGACUUUAUCCUAGUUGUAGAAGUCCUGCAAACAUUGUGUUUGCUGGUUGAAAUGAUACAAGUGAGGACGGAGCAAGGUGGGCAGGGGUUGCUGGAACAGAGAGGGAGGGAAGAGGAGGAGCUGCCAGGGGACCACAGAAGGGCACCAGUUGCAAUAACAUUUUCUCUCCAUAAUUACAAUGUGUAAUUAUGAAGUUGCGGUAUAAAAAAUGGGGGUUGAAAUUAGAACAAUUGAAACAGAAUAUUGCAAAAAGUUUCACAAUCGGCUUUAUAACAGUAAUAGAAGGUAGGGAUUGUUAAAGUCAUGAGUGUAAAAAAUAGAGGACGACCCAUAAAGACUGAAAAAAGACAACUGUUGUCAGAGAAACAGCAGAUGUGAAUAACUACUGUUAGCUGUUAGCAUCUCUCUGUCAUACAGUCCCAGACCCUCUGCUUUCCAUUGCAUUGAGCCUGUCAUUAAAAUCAAAGUUAGAGAGUCUAUGGCUCUGUGAUUACUGAAGGCAAGAAACAAAGUAUUACUGAAUAUACUCAGUACUCUAAGUAAUUGAUCUCACACAGAGCAGUCAUGUUAUACCUGUGUUCUCUUACUGCCCUGAUCUGUUUGUUCUGUUCAACAGUCACACUUUGUUAGUCCCAGUAACAUCACAACACAUCACUCUUACUAACACAGUCUUGUGAGCUGGUGUGAGAACAUAAAGAUAAGUCUGCACUGAAAAUUAUUAGCAAUACAUAUUUGUCAUGAAAAAUGACACUCUGAUGUGGAAACAUGUACUCUGGGAGCAUCCAGAAAGGCAUGCUUGAAGAGCUCUGAGACAGCUACCCGGUAUCAACACACAAAACUUGUCAUGAACAUGCCAGCUAAUCAGAAAAGCUGACAAAGAAGACAGAUUACAGGCUGCUUUAACUGUAUAAACCAAUAUGUCAUCGUGACAUGCACAUAAACAGACCAACCUCUCAAAGUACACAUGAUGUAGCCUUGAAAACUGUGAGUGAGGAGGAUACAGCGUGUACUCUGUCCAUCUGUGAAGUCAUUGAGGAUAAGAGGAGACUGAAGCUUUGAGUGGAGGAGGAUGAUAAGAUGACAGAAAAUACCUUCAUCCUUUCCUUCUUUCAUACAGAUAUUGUAUGUAUUGUAUUAGCACAAAUACACUCUUGUAUGAGUUUCUUGUUUUAUGUUAAACACAAACUAAGAUGAUACAGUAGGAUGUUUAUCCCAUAAUUUUACAUGACACUGACCCUACAAAGAGUUGUGAAAUGGCUCCUGAAUAACAAAAAGUUCCAAGACAACAUAAAAACAUUUUUUUCUCUGUUUUUCUGUCUAUUACUGUUUUUAACAUUGUAGCAUGGCAUUUAAAAAACAAUUUCUUUGCCAUACUCAUAACUUUGUGCAAACAAAUGAAGCAAGAGCUGUCUUUUGUUCCUUAGAUACGAUGCCCAUGUGCUCCAUAACCAGCUCCAUAAAGUCUUGGUUCUCCUGGUUUGAUGUGGUGCUGAAUAAGGGGCCUCCAUGGAGCAGUUACCACAGCCCCAUCCAAAAUUAUUGCUUUGUGCACACAAGACAAUAAAAGCAAAGUUCCUCAGAAACUGUUUGGUUUUAGAAGGAAGGUGAGACAUGCCAGGAACAUCAUCAACAACAACAACAACAACAAUAAUGAUAACAAUAAAAAUAACAAUAAUUAUGAUAAUAACAAAAUGUAUUAUUAUUAUUAUUAUUAUUAUUAUUAUUAGUAGUAGUAGUAGUAGUAUUAAACAUUUUAUUUGUAGUGCCCUUUACCAAGGGCACAAGGGCUACAUCUUAAUUACAAAUAAAUAAAAAAAAUAAAAAUUACAGUAAAGUAAAGAAAUAUAAAAAGGUUAUUGGUUAAAAACAAGAGACAUCACAUUAAAAGAGUAAAAGCAAGAUAAGCAGGAGCAGCAUUAAAACCCUGUAUCUGCCAACACUGGAGCUGCUGAAGUAAGGUGUAUAGGUACAUGUGUGGAGUAAUGUUACACCGUUUCCUAAACCAAAUAAAGCUGACUGGGAGGUCAAGCAUGCAGCUGCUCUGUGUGAAAGUCACAGAUCAUGAAUAUAUCUCCAGGGAAACACACCAAAGACAAAGACUAAAAUGAAGCAUAGCGGUAGUUCAGGCAGGUCACAGAGUCAAGCUGAAGGCUACAGUCAGCUGAUCUUAAGCCAGCCCUGAGUCAGCUGACAGCUCAGGUUAUCACCCUCUUCACAUCCUAUUGGCUAAUGUCAAAAUGGUGCCCUAUUCAAACUGCCUCUCCUGCCUACUCUGCCUGCUGCAACCACUCUGCAACCCACCUCCACCCCAACUCCUGGGGCUCUAUUUUCGUGCCUCGCCAACAAGGCGUUCCCAAGCACAUUUUGAUAUUUUGGUGAGCGACACAGCCCGGUGUAAGUAUCCCCCCUCCCUAACUCAGCUCCUCCCAGUGGCGUGAGUCGUAGAGAGGGCGUGGAGUGGGUUUAACACAGCCGAUACCUGUUUUUGCCCAUCAGGACCGCUCCUCUCCUCACCUUUAAAUCCGCCACCGGCGAGGCGUAUUCCAAUUUUCGUGAAGUAGUCAAAGAGAUCAAGAGAUGUCUGCAGACAGCAAUGCCACACGAUGGUGACAGAAGGCAGCUCCUCAACAAGUGUCACUGUAAACGCUGCAGAGGGCGUCCUCCACACGCUCUCAUAUAAGCACAGAGGGAUUUGGUGUGUGUAAGGUUGGACCCACUGGUAAGACAAACACCCUUUUCAACAAAUAAAAAUCACAUAAAGUUGCAUAUAUUCAAACCUCACGUGACAAAGGUGGGUUGUGCGCACAGAUCACAUCAUAAAUUCCAAAAAUGGCAUAAAAAUCGGAACCAUCUGUGUGUAAAUGACGCAUCGCGCUCCGUGGCCUGGCUCUGUCUUUCAUAUAUGUUGGCAUAUAAAAUAAAUUUGGCUCACAAAACUGAAUAUUAUAAUAUUCGUAUGUAGGCUUAAAGUAGAUAACUCAUCUGAUCACUAAAAUAAAUCAUCUGUUCAGCCGCAGCUGCAGCAGGACGGGGAAAGGACACAGAGACGUGUCCAGGUCGAGCUGUGCGAGAAAUGAGAGGAAGAGGAAGAUAGAAAUAGCGGGGAGACGAAUGACAUAUCUUAUUAACUUAAUCAUAUGUGUUUAUUUACUAGAUAUUUAAUUUAAUUUAAUGCGGUUUCAGCUGUGUUGAUUCCGUCAGGUUGCAUUUCCAGACGCGUGCCAAACACGCUCAUCAGAUCAGAUAUAGAUCAGAAUAUAUCUAUAUAGAUCUAAAUGUAUGUGCUGACUCAGAAUAUUGGCUGUUGUUGAUUAUUUAUUGCACUGAAAUGUGCCUGACACUGUGGAAACCUGCCUGUGCGGCAUCGCUGACGUGUGCGUAAUAUGCCACCGGUCUACCAAAAUACCUCUAGACCAGGGGUCCGUUUCACGUAGGUGGUUCAACAAACUCUGAGUCAAAUCCUUAACUCUGAGUUGAUCUACUCUGAGAUAGGAAACUCUGAGUUUCCGGUUUCACAAUACCUGAUUUGAGACAGUUUUAGCAACUCCGAGUAGUUUGACCUGGAGUUAAGCACGUGCACGCCAGACAUAAACAGCCAGCAUCUGUGGAGCCCAGAUUCAUUGAUCAACCAAUGGAAACAGGGAGAAGGAGGGGGCAGCAGCAAGCCAACGGCGAAUUACAGCACGUUUUUAAAAGAAAGUGCAAUACAGUAGCAGCUGCAAAGGAGAGGGAGAGGGCAUGGGAGGAAAUUGCUGCUCGCGUCCAUGCGUAACUUUAAAUCUAAACUUGUGCAAUCACAAUGACAGACUGUUGCAGGGGAAACUGCGUGCAUGGAGCAAAUUAAUUUAUUUUAUGUAGGUGCAAUCCAGCGGGACAAAAACGCACUUGGCAGCAGCUGAAAAUUAAAUCUAAAAACAUUGUGCAAACAGGUGAGACAUCUGCUUUUUCUCAUUUUGAUCAUGUUCUACAUUGUCAAGUAAGUAUUAAGUGGCAGUUUGAUCCCUUAAAAAAUGCUCUUUUCACACUCAAAAAUGAAUUUUACUCUCUUAUGAUGUUCCGCGGCCGGUCCGAUCGCAAAUCCCCCCCCCCCCCCCCCCGUAGCAGCGAUCGUGGGACCGGUGUGUGUGUGUGUGGGGGGGGGGGGGGGGGGCAGCUACUCUGCCUCCGUUAAAGGUGGGGCUGCUGGCCCACCACCCGUUUUUCUGGCAUCUGCCCUCUUUCUGUUUGCUUAGUGAAAGUCUGUGUUAGUUUAAUAUUCCUAAUCAUUUAACGGAACAUAAUAAGAGAGUAAAAUUCAGUUUUGAGUGUGAAAAGAGCAUUUUUUUAAGGGAUCAAACUGCCACUUAAUACUUACUUGACAAUGUAAAACAUGAUCAAAAUGAGAAAAUGCCGAUGUCUCCCCUGAAACUCUGGGUUUACUGAGUUAAACCUGCUCCCGAGCAGGUUAGGUUCACGGAGUCUGUUAGUAUGGUAACUGACCGCGAGGUUGAGUUACCUCUCUUUGUGAAACAGGUUAGAGUUACCCCUCUCUCUCUGGUUUAACUGACCCUCCUUUGUGAAACAGAAAACUCAGAGUUUCCCUGAUUUCAGGGUUAACAGACUCUGAGUUUCCAUUAAACCUGCUACGUGAAACGGACCCCAGCUGUGCUCCGCCUGCGCUGAAAGCUGACCAGAUUUGAAUCGGCGAGCUUUCAGCGCACUUUACACGGCACUGGCGAGCACGAAAAUGUCACUGCACCAGCUGAUUCUGUCGACACCUCCUCUUACCGUGCAUCCAUGCUCAGCUUGGCAACCUCGGUGCGCCUCAGUCCACGAAAAUACUAAACUGGCUGUGCGCCGGGCUCCGCCAGACCAAAAUACCAGACAGACACCAGUGCAUGUUAAAUUGGGGAUUGCAGCUCAAAAAUGUUGACAACUACUGUGCUAUGUGGAAUUGUGGGAUAGCCUGAUAUCAACAGUGGGACAUGAGUACUCAAGGCUUGUAAAUAACCAAAGCUAUGGAGCCACUAUUUAAAAAAACACAUGAACGUCCAGUAUCACUGAAACAAAUAAGUAUAAAAGUCUGGGUAAAAAAUUAAAGGAGUCAUGAUUGACUCUGUAAAAAUAGAAUUUCAUUUCAGGUCCUAAUUGUGUCUAAAUACAGUGUUUUGGGUUGGUUUUGUAAGGUAGUUUUUGAGAGAGAAAAAAAAAGGGGGUUUCAUGCUCCUAAAAAAAAAAGAAAAAAAAAAAGGAUUUUUGAGAUAGAUAUUUUUCAUUCCACAGCAACAUUACAUUAAAUGGUAGUCUACGGCUCUGUCAUAUCGCAUGCUUUACUUUUGGUAUGAAUGGAGAAGCAUACUAUCUCUUGGGCUAGAGGUGGUAUCACACAUUUACUACCAGCUCCUCUCUAGGCAUGUAUGCUGUUCCACUUUAAGGCCAGAGUAAGAUCUGCAAACUGUCGAGCAUGUCCAGGACUCUAAGGGCAGUUUGGGCUGACUGAAAUGCACAAGUACAUGUGGAAAUCAGUCUCAGCUGCAUUAUUUUAGUUUGUUAGUCCAGCUUUAGGAACUGUGAUUUCAGUCAGUCUACUUAAAACACUUCAGUCACUAAGUUUAGAUGAGGAUCAUGUAAUUAGAAAUGCAGUUCAUCGUAAAGCAGACAAUGGAAAGAAUAGGGAGGGUCAUUAGAAAUAUCCUUUUGUGUUUUGGGAGCUCAUCAAACCAUAAAUUCAACUUCUUCUAGUUGUUAGUACAACCGACGCAACAAUACAACCCAAGAACUUAAUUAAUAUUUUUUUGUCUGGAGUCUCAUGUCAUCUGUUUAUCAAAGAUUAAUGAAGUCUGAUAGCUGUGGGUACAUAAGAUCUUUUGAAUCUCUCCAUCCCGUAGAGAAGAGAGAGGACAAGUCAACCACUGUUGUUUUUUUGCAAUUCGUCCCACAGCUAUGUAAAGACAAUUCCAAACAUGUAAGACUCAAUAAAAACGUAUCAUACGUAAAAAACAAGACAGUGUGAGGUAUUUUAGAAUCAAAACAACUUCUAUGAAUGCUCAUUCACUAAGAAUAACCACUACAAGAAACCAACUUAUCUUAUUUUCAUUUCAUUAGGAGUCAUAGUAUUGAGAGCAAAUCAGCAGAUAGUAUGCAGAGCUGCAGGUCCUAGAGUGUCAUUGAGUAGAGCUCAGUCUCUCCAUAUGUGAGUGUGUGUGUGUGUGUGUGUAUUUAGUUUGCAUUUAGUUAUUCAAUAUUAAAAUAUUUUGCAAGUCUUAUUUUAUUGUUUUAUAGAACUUUCCCUGGGUUUUCACUAUGCAUAUUGCUGCACAUUGUGUUGAAACUGUAAAUAAAUUCAGUUGGACUGCAUCAUGAAUCUGUGCCUUAUUUUGGAGCCUAAUAAACCAUUUUUGUUUUAACAUUGGCCAUAAACAGACGAGGGUGAAGUAAAAUAUGCAGCGCCGUGGAGGGAGCUGCCUGUCAUGUUUGCCCCUGAGUAUCCUCCUUAAAAAACAUUUUAAAAUAUUCCAGAAUUAUUGCGCAAUAAAGAUGUUAAAUGUGUUUGAAGCUGACCUGCGGGCCAUCUUUUCUGAAUGCUCACUGAGUGCAAGUAUGAAUUAGUGCGACGAAUGGAGCCACCAGCUGUGCACAGCAGCCCAGGAGACUUUGCUUGGAACUGUUGUUUUUAGGCAAGGAUACAGUUUGCCUCAGGACUUUAAAUCAAGGUUCCUCAUUCAGACAGCGUUCCACUUUUUCAGCUGGAGCCUGGAGCCAAAGAGCCGAGAGAUGGCAGCCCAUUUUAGGGAUUUUACUAUUUGACUAAGUUGUAGUCUGCUGCAUUUAGUCCAGAGAAGCCCUGGAGAAACCAGGGCCAUGUGCCUGGUCACUGCAGCUGAUUAUUGUCUUAGCUCUGCUGUGCUGUUUUUGGUCUGCUCCAAGAUGUUUGUCAUCAUUUAGAAAUGAAUCAAAGCAGACACAUGCCGGCCCUCUCUGCCCUGCUAUAAUGUGACUACGGGGUCAUCAUGUCCUCGUUUUGUUUUUGUAGGACAGUAUGUUACAAAGAGGGAUAAGGAGCUGGUACAUGUCACCCACACAUGAACCAUGGUGCAAAUGCCCUGUAUACUUCCCCUUAUUAAAAAUGAUUCAAGGGAUAAUGAUUACCAAACGCUGUAUGCUGGUAUCAACACAGCUGGAAGGCGGAGAAUUCAUGAACAAGAUCCAAGUCAAAACAUUGCUCCUAAAAAAGUAUUGCAUUUCUUUUCCUCCUUCGUGCUGUUUCAACUUCUCUGUCACUCUUUAUUCUCUUUCUCCCAAAGACUUGCGCACUGUUAUGGAUUCAUUUUCUCAAAAUCAUUCAAAAAUCCAAAGCAGUCAUAAAACUGAUUUAAUUCAUGAGUAUGAGAGGGAACCAAAAUGAACUGGAAACACAUUUGAGUGUGGCGGCCUGCGGUGCCGGGCCGUUAGCUGGAUAGCUUGUCAGAUGUAAUUGACUUUUUGCUCAGCCUUUCCUGUCACUCCUCACUGUAAUUUCAUAGGCUCAUGCAGAGAAGCUCUGAGAAAAAAGACACUCGGUAAUAAAAAAGAAAUCUGUGUCACAGGUAGAAUGCAUCGGAAUAUUUGAGUAAUGAUGCAUGAAUAUGAAACUGAUAAAAUAAAAAUGCAAGUUAGUUCCUCCACUGCAGCAGUCCUGUAUAACACAAGACUCUGGAGUCAUUUUUGUUUUCCUGUUUCUUGCCUCAUAGGGAUGAGGUUUUCUCUGCCUUGUUCUUGCAGUUGUGUCUAUUUAAGGGAUGUAACAAUUUCAAAAUCUCACUAUUGGAUAGUAUUACAAUAAGUCCUCUGGACAAUAUUUGCAUUCAUACUUAUGAUCGGAGCAGCGUCAGCAGUGAUGCGGACGCUUAACCAAUCAGUCGUGAUGAAGAAAGAGCUGAGCUGUAAGGCGAAACUGUUCGAUUUACCGGCCGAUCUACAUGCCGACUCUCACCUAUGGCCAUGAAGUGGCGUAAUACAAGCGGCCGAAAUGCGGAUCGCAGAGUGGCCGGGCUCAGCCUUAGAGAUAGGGUAAGGAGCUCGGACACUCAGGAGGCGCUCAGAGUAGAACCGCUGCUCCUCCACGUGGAGAGGAGUCAGCUGAGGUGGCUCGGGCAUCUGGUAAGGAUGCCUUCUGGACGCCUCCCGUUAGAGGUGUUCCAGACAUAUCCCACCGGGAGGAGACCUUGUGGCCGGCCCAGGACCAGGUGGAGGGAUUAUAUCUCUCACCUGGCCUGGGAGCGCCUGGGAAUCCCCCCAGAGGAGCUGGUGGAAGUGGCCGGGGUGAGGGCUGUCUGGGCUUCCCUCCUGAAGCUGCUGCCCCCGCGACCCAAAUGAAGCGGAAGAAAACGAUGGCGACGACUUAAUGAAUAACGAUAAUGGAAAAGGCAGUUGACAUAGCUUCGCGAGCAUCCAUGGUUCUGAAUGGCAGUAGGCCAAGCAGGAUUGGCCCAGAAUUACCCUACACCAGCAUUUUUCCCCCUCUUCUCAGAGAAUCAGGAGACAUUCCCAGGCCAGCUAGAAUAUGUAAUCCCCCCAGUGAGCUCUGGAUCUGCCUCGAGGUCUCGUCUCAGGAAAUCCCCAUACAGAGGAAACCAGAUGGACCAUCUCAAUACCACUUCAGCUGCCUCUAUCACUGUUGAGAAGCCCGACUCAGAGCUCUGCUCUGAGUUCUUAACCCCCCCCCCCCAACUAACACCAAUUCACAAGUGGAGGUGAUGCCAAUGAGUGGGUGAGCAACCAAGUUUCACUUCUUUAUUUUUGAAUGAGAAUGCUCUAAGCAUGGACCACAGACUGUAUAUAAUAUGGACAAUUUGGCUCCACCUUCCAUCAUUAUAUGAAUUUUAAGCCACAUUGCUCUAGGUAUUUCCAGUCUUACAGUAACUACAUGUCAUACGCAUUCAGCAGGAGAGUCGCUGUGAUGACGCUUGGCUAAAACAUCGUAUCCCCCGGAUGAUCUAUGCAAUCUUCAUACGCCCAUAGGCUAUAUCAAGUGUCAAUCAUAGAAAACAAGAACCCCCUAAUAGCUUUUAAAAUUGAUCUGUACCGAAAAAAGAAGACUUGAGCACAAACAUCGCAACCAGGGGGGAGAAAAAUUUACAUUCUGUGUAAUAAAAUUCUAAAUUUUGUCCACAGCUCCAUAGGGAUUGCUAGAGGAGGUGGGAUUUGUGACGUAUACUGCAGCCCGUCACCAGAGGGUGCUGUUCUUGUGGUGGCUUUACGCAGUGAGGAGGCAGACGACAUCCAUUCUAUAUACAGUCUAUGGCAUGGACAUGCAAAUUGAGCAACAAGGAGAUUGCUUAAAAAAAUACUUGCCCCGGUUAGAUUCUUCUCAGUUUCAUGUGCUGCACUUUACAAGAAGAAACCUAAAGUGAUGCUGAAAGUUAAUCUUAGUCCUCCUGCAGCAGAGUGUUAUUGAGUCCAACACGCUCUACUCACCUGCUGUAUAUUCAAUGGAAACGGAAAUAUUUUGCAACAUCUGGCAGUCCGUUUUUAUGUUUGUUCGUUUUUGAUUGUUUGUUUGUUUUUAGAUAAAAAUGCUCCCUUGCUCACCCCUCCUGAUGGGGAAAUAACUGUGCUCUCCAUUUGUCAAAAUUUUGGCAUCAAAAAUUUCUUUUAAUGCAUAUUUUUUCACACACAACACCCACUUUCAUCUUCUUCAUCUUUGGUGUUACACUGGUGUGUUUAGUGCAGCAACUCACUAAAUACAGAUAUACAAAAAGGCAAACAAUACAGGUUUGCCCAUUCUGUACCACAGUAGAAGCAUAACAGUUCAAAUCUCUUCAAUAUGUUCAAAUACUUGGCCAAACCAUGCGGUAAUCAAACAUGUGUCUAGUGAUUGAAGUUCUUGUUAUGUCCAAAAGAAUACAAGCUGAACACAGACUGACCUUCAUGUGGGGCUGAGGCUGAUCAAAGAGCAGCAGGAUCUGCUGGUGCAGCAAUGGUGGGAGGAUCUGUGAAGGAAAUAAUGGAAUUCACUGAAGAGCAGUGAUCCACUGACCGGCUGCUGCCCUGCUGAUGCUCCCCAUGGGACCAGAGCACUGAAAGGCAAUGAAGCAAAAGAUCUGUCUGAUGGAGGACUAACACAACACUGCAUGACUGAAUACGCUCUGCUCAUAGGUCUCCAGCACACCAUUACUCUUACCUGUUCAGUCCAGCUCUCUGUGCUCAGAGGGUCACACAUUUAUGCUGCAGACUGCUAUGAUUUGAGAUUGUGGCACAGCUGGAGGCCUGGGACAACAUAAGGCUCAACAGUCCACAAAGAAUCGAACCCACAGAUCAGUAAGUCUGUAUUAAAUCAGAAAAUCAGGAGGUGUGCCUUAGGUGGAACAUUUGUCUGUUAUGUGAAAGAGGCUGCUUAUAUUUCUCUGAAUGAUAGUCAUGCAACUGCUACACUAGCAAAACUGAACUUAGUGAAGUUAACUUAGUGUGCUCAUCUCAUUCCUCACCAAUUAUGACUUUCAUUUAAAGGGAUAUUCUGAUGUAAAAUUAAAUUGGGGUCAAACACACUGUAACAUGGAGUUAGACACCUCCUUGAGAGAUGAAUGUUGCCAACUGCUUGCCUCUCUACUUACACCAAAUUUAGUAAUGACUGCAUAAUAGCAAUACAGGUCUGAGGAGCCACACGCACACCUCAGACUUUAGAGCCACAAAUAAUGCUCAGAACAGCACCUAACUUCAUCAACAUUACAUAUGGGGUCCCAGCAAUAUUACUAGCCAUCAAACAUCUUUUGAGCUUUGCCUGAUUUCUUGAACAAAGAGACCAAACACAACUCAACUAGUCUCUCUCGGCAACAUUGUUUGUAGGGAGACCAUGGAUGAGUCCAUCACCGCGUUCAGCAGGGUGACACAGCUCAAGGAAGAACAUUUAUGAUCAUUUCUUCAUGGAAAUGCAAUCAAACCGAGGCACUAAGGCAGAAGAACUAUCGCGUCAGCCGUGCAAAAUGAUUAACAUGAUGAUUAUUACUUCAAGGAAAUUAUAAAGUAAUGAUCAUAAACAUUCUUCCUUGAACUGCGUCGCCCCGCUGCAGUCAGUGAUGGACUUGUCCAAGCCUUGCCUACAAAGAAGCGGCCGCUGGAAGAGACAGGGUGAGUUGUGUUUUGUCUCUUUGCUAAAAUCAGGCAAAGCUAAAAAGAUGUUUGGAGGCUAGUGCUAUGUCUGGGACCCUAUAUGUACUGUUGAUGAAGUUAGGUGCUGUUCUGAGCAUUAUUUGUGGCUAAAGAGUGGCGUUUUGUUUGGGGUUUGCACGUGGAUCCAGAGACCGCUGUGUAUUGCCAUCGUGCUGUCAUUACUAAAGUUGUUAUAACUAGAGAAGCAAACGGUCGGCAACAUUCUUCUCUCAAGGGGGUACCUAACUCCGUGUUACGGUGUGGUUAACCCUGACUUCAUUUUACGACAGAAUAUCCUUUAAGUUGGAGGGCUGUAUCAUUACCAACUUUUUGACAAGUUUUGCCCUCAGUAGGGGGCAGUGAUCACACAGUAGCUUGUGAAUUACUUGCAAACUUUUUAAAUGACCUUUGCCUUGAAUGCUCUUUUGCUGUGGAAGUUUCAUACACUCAGUUUUCUGGAUUAAUAAUCAUGGGAGACAAGUAUAACUAUCUGCUAAAGCAGCCUUGUCAACUCGUUUUACUCUGUCUGCCUCGGCAGCUGUUUCAUCCAAAUUUAUUGGAUAACAAACCAUUACCACCUGUCAGUCCUGUCUUUUCAUAGUGGCAAAUUAGCGAAGCGAAUAUUUUUUUUUUUGUUAACCUCAUAAAAUCAAUGCAAGCUUCCACGCCAGCCACAUACUUCACAGAGCUAUAAAGCAACUGUAAUUUUUUCACCCCUGUAGAGAAUUUUGCGAACAUUUAAUCCAUAGACUGUAUAUAGAAUGGACAGCGUCUGCCUCGUUGCUGGGUGAAGCCACUCCGAGAACAGCACCCUCUGUUGAUGGGCUGCAGUAUAGGUCAUAAAUCCCGCCUCCUCCAGCAAAGCUUAUGGAGCUGUGGACAAACUUUAGAAAUUUAUUACACGGAACAUAAAUUAUUCUCCCCCCUGCUUGUGAUGUUGACAUGUAGUUAUUGUAAGACUGGUUUGUGUUCAAGUCCUCUUUUUUCUGUGAAGCUCCAUUUUUAAAAGUUAUUAGGGGGUUCAAGUUUUCUUUGAUUGACACCUGAUACAGCCUUUUGGCGUUCAGGGAUUGCGUAGCUCACCCGGCGAAUACGCUGUUUGAGCCGAGUGUCAUCACAGCGACUCUCAAGCCUAACGCGCACAACGUUACUGCGCAGUGCUGGUUUCAGGAAUUGAAGAAAAAUCCAGGAAAUACAGAGAGCUUUUUGGCUUCAAAUCCAUGUACAGGCAGAAGACGCAACCAAGUUGUCCAUAGUAUAUACAUUCUUUGAUUUAAUCAGAUCAAUCUGCUCUCUGUAAUGCAUCCACUCCUUCUGCAAACAUGAAGUCAGCUCAUGGAGCAGUUCUUGAAAUUGCCAGAGGGACAUUUUGAAGUAUUGUCUGAAUUUCUCAGGACACAAUUUAAACCCCUGGAUUGUUGAGGAGCUGCCACAUCUCCUGUCACAUGGUCAGUAUUUGAUGUACCCAGACACUUAGAUGUCUGAUUAGCAAAUUGUCUCAGUAGCCAUUUUUAAUCAGAAUAAAUAAAGUUCUCAGUAGUGGCUUGUAAUAUCUUGAACUAAGAUUUGUAAUGCAGACCUGCACAUCAGUUAUCUAUGCGGUUAUGUGAGGUUCAACAAGACAUUUUAACUCGAAAAAUUUUAAAAAGUCCAUUAGAAAAUCCUUUUUUCCUCUUGACUUUUACUUUUUCCCCUGAACAAUAUAAGCCUGACUGCUUUUGUUAGCAGAAAAACAGUGAAGAUAGAUCAAGAGUUUGGAAAUAUCCGACAUGACCAGUCCCCCUCCUGUGAGCAAGAGUCACAUUUCUGACUAAGUACAACAAAGAAAAGCAACCUUUGCUUUGACAUUAACAAUAAUGUGAUCACCUAUUACUCAGCUGUCCUCACAGUGAGCCUCAAGCCUUAAUGGUGUCUGUUUCACACAGAAAAGGUUAUAGAAAAGCACAUUUUAACAAGUUUUACUAAAUGGAAGGACCGACCUCACCACAAGCUUUCUGCAUAACAUUUAACCUGAAACCACAAGAUCUGGUGAUUAAAACUGUGAAUGCUACAGGAGUCACUUUUAGUCAUAGACCUGCAGAAACAAAGUCAAGAGCUCAGCUCAAAGUUCCAGAAGCUGUUAUUCGACAUGCACUCAGGAAAGUCAUGGAGCCCUCACACCUGCUUACCUUAAGAUUCCCCGCUGAAACCCACAUGAGCCCACCCCAGCUGUGUCCAUAUGUUCUCACAUGAAGCUCAUGCAGUAUUGCUGAUUUAUGUUUAAUAGCAACUUAAAAAAAAUGUCAAAUUAGUGUGAAGGUUAAAAAAAGUAUACUUCCCUUCCUAGGAAAAGUCAUGUAUCUCAUGUGCCAAGACUCCAGUCACUCUCAUUCUUAUUCCAGUCCCUAUUAUUAAACAACAUUUUCUUUUUUAAUCUGUGGGUAACUCUGGUUGUGUAUUUUUUUGAACAACUCACCAACUUGUUUGCAUCCAGGUUAACAGAGUCCACUCCAGAGACACCCUGCGGAUGCUUGCUGAGUGUCAUUGAAAAAUAAUAAAGUCUUGUCCGUGUUUCUCUCUCAUGGAGGAGAAUGUGUGAGUAAGUGUAAGUAAGUGUGGUUGCUGCUGUCAUAUUUUAACAACCACAGCACCUGAUUUUGUUCUUUGUAUGCUGAGAACAGUUUAUUGACUUGACCAUCUGACAGGAAGAAGAGAUUGAAAAUCAUGCAAAUGCAAAAGAGGGCACUUGUCCUUGGAAGUGGGCUCUUUCUUUGUAUUUUCCUCUUUUGAAUGCUGAUGACCUGGAGUCAUUCUAAUAUUGCUACACUGAUGAAGAUGUCCCCAUGGAGACCUUUGAGACAGUUUUACUUGCUCUGAGUCUUGAAUACAGACUUUCUUUUCUGACUCAGGCCAAAAAGUUUAUUCCACUAAUCAUCUGCUUUAAAAAGUCUGUCGACUGGAUGGUAUCAAACAUUUCUACUUCUCUCCGGUAAUGAAUGUUGCAUGUUGUAUGGAUUCAGCAUUGGACAACUUGGCUUCGCCUUCCGCCAUUAUACACAUUUUAAGAUGAAUUGCUCUCUGUGAAGGCCACAAGCCGAAACGCAUCGGCAAAUAAAGUUGUUUUCCUAAACUACAAAUGUUGCUGGAGCUCUUUUGACCUCUUUAAGACCCCUUUUCUCUGAGCACCUUGGAAGUUGGUGAAGUUAUGCCAGAAUUGUUGUCCCUAUGGACAUAACACACAAAAAAAAACCUUUAUUAUUUUAAUUAUGAUCAUAAACGAAUUCAAUGAGUGAUUGCACAAUGUAUGAAACUGUUUCAAUGUUUUUUUUGUUUUGUUUUUUUUGUACUUGUUUUGACUGUAAAACUCGAAUAGAAUAGGACAUUCUGAGGUACUCGUUGAUGUUCAACAUUAACAGGAUGAUCCUGGUGUAAUGUCUCUCAUCUCCACCUGAAUUCAGCCCCUCUCUGUUACAGGUGAAGCUCACUGGACAGUUUAGGGAACCACGAGUGCUUUACUACUCCACAAAGUACGGAACAGUGCCACCCAUCAUAUCAGAGAGAAAACUAGGAGUGACAGAAUAUGUGGUUGAUAGCCAGGAAGCACUUUGUCCAAAAUGACAUGAAAGGAAAAAAGAGUUAAUACUGAUGGAUACAUUAGCAGCCUCUGCUCUCAGUGUGUGAAUGUGGUAUGAAUGGGUAAAUGUGACAGGUAAUGUAAAAGCACUUUGAGUGACCAGAAGACUAGAGAAGGAGCACAUAGACACAACCCGCUUGGAACUUGGCAUCAACUGGGAAUGUAACCAAGAACCCGCACGUGACUCAGGAAUUUACCAGGGACUUGUUGGCCUUGUUGAACUAAGUUAAACAAUAACUUGGGACUCAAUGGUCAUUGGGCCUGUAGGUUUCAUAUCGAGGCCUGACACUGGAUCUGAUGGACUUGACAAAGGACAUGUUGGUCUUGACAUGGGACUUUUUGUGUUUCACUUUAGACUGAACUUUGAUCAAUUUCUCACUGUAAAACUUGGGGUAGCUUGACACUUAGUGGUCUUGACAAAAGACCACACUUCACCAGAUUGUGUUGCUGUACCUUAUGUCAUUGAUUAAAAUGAGGAUCCUUUAUCAAAUAUUGAAAAAGUUAAUCACAUGUAUGAAGUCAAUAAAGAUCAAAUUGACACUGAUGACAAUGUAUGAUAUUAACAAUUAAGAGACAAAUGCCAAUGCUCAUAGAAAGGCAGAAAAAAACACUCUUUGACGUGCUCACAUUGUCCCUGUGUCAGACACAUACAUCUUCUACCUUAGCAUUUCCUGCACACACACUGUUCACACACACACACACACACACACACACACACACACACACACACACACACACACACACACACACACACACACACACACACACACACACACACAGAGUCCUGCUACAAAGAAGCUUCCUCCCAGCGACCUGUCAAUCUCAGGGCAGCAGUAUGGGAUUUAUAUAAUACUCCAUUGAUAUUCACGAUAAGCUCCACAUGCACCUGUGUGACUCCAGUUUGGGAAGAAGAAUCCUUGAUGUUUCUGACAUUUGUUCGGAAAACAAGCAGUAUUAUUCUCAUGCUGGCCUAGUGCGCAGGAGAAGGGAAUCCUGAUGUAUCUGACAUUUGUUUUGGUAGCAGAGGGAACAACUGGAAAAAGGUAUUUUCAGCUUGUAUAUGAGCUGAAUGCAGUAUGAGUUACUCCUGCAGAAAGCCAGUGUAUAAAUACUGCAUCAUUUUGUCAGUAAGUCAACCAGUGAACUGGUUAGUAGCACACUGGUUUUAGGUGUAAACAGUCCAUUAGCACCACAGUGAGUGUUAUACAUUCAUGUUCCAAAAUUAAAGGAUUGUUAUGUUUUUACUGAUGUGUUGAAAAUUUGAAUUGUUAUCAGAGAAAGCUGGUUUUAAAACUUCACAUAAUUAAACAGGGAAGGUUUGUUUGAACUUCCAGACCUCAAAGCUACGCUGUUUCUUCCUGCCUCAUUUUUUCUUAUUAAAAGAGAUGAAUAACUUCCGAUUCAAGUAUUUAUGAUUAUAGAGAUGCAAUACAGCAGAAUAGUCUAAGCAGUGAUUCCAAGUGUCCAAGGUCACAGAAGUCCAAGCCUGUUUGUUUUCAGAACAGAAAAUAUGGUGACCCAAAUUUAGAUAGAUGAUGUGUCUGAAAAAAUAAAUAAAAGACAAAAGUUAAGCAUGUAAACAAAAUGAUAAGAACAGAAGUUAGCCAUAAGAUGUUACCGUAAGAUUUGUUACCGUAAGAUUUGGUGUAUGAGACCCACUUCUUAAACCCAUUUUAUCAUCCAAAUAAGUGACCUGUGUCUGUAAUAUGACCGAUAUACAAGAAUAUGGUAUUCUGUUGUGUUAUGGUGUUUUACCCCAAAGAUGAUGCUCAAAGAAGCAAGUAACAGUUUCGGUGUUUAAAACAUGCUGGACACAUGGCAUGGUGAGCCACUUUUCAACCCCUCUCCCUCUUUGUUCAUAAUCACGCAUUCAAGGAAAGAGCUAGUAGAAGUAGACUAACUUUACAGAGAGCUGGUUAGGAAAUGGAGAGUCUCAGUGCUACAGGCGCAUUUGUGCCUCACAAAGAUCAACAAUAGUGUAACCUGAGUCCAGCUAUCAUAUAGGUAGCUGGCAGUACGGUGAUAACAGAUGGUACUAGACGGGGCCACACAUCUGCAUAGAAGCUCCACACAGGACAGUUCAAGUCCUGCCUCAACCUUUUUCCUCUCAAACAGCCUCAGUCUCUAAACAGACUGUGUAUUAUAAAGCAGUGCAAUUUAUGUUUCAGAUAUGAUGGGGCUAAGAGCUUGAACAUUAAUUUUUUGCCAAACUCUUCUAUUUCCUAACUAAGGUCAAUUGUUUUGCACAGUCAUACAUCUAUUUCAGUUUUUUUUUUAAACUUAAUUUUUGAUUUUCCCUGUAGAGUUUUUUUUUUUUUUUUUUUAACCCGAGAAACCAGACUGUUUAUGUUUUAUGAACCUCUCAUAACUGUCUGAACUGUGACCAAGAGACAUUUUUGUCAGGCAACAUAUUCAAAGUGAUCAUGUAAAUAUAAUAAAAAUGAUAAUGUCUUCCACAGGAGUUUGUUUAAAAGUUUAUCUCAUCAUAUUUAAUCUCUUCUGCUCUUAAAUAGCCUGAUUUAUGUGUUCAGUGUGUGACUCAUUUGAAACUUUGACCUGAAAAUAUAUCUCAAAUCCCUGCUGCUUCAACAGUAACAUGUUGAUUGUAGACAAUUUACAAUGUGUAAACAAGCACAACAUAAUCCUAAUCACACAAUCAGUCUGACAAUAAUGUAACCACAUAAGUAUUAUGCAUACUUCCUGCCCCUACAGCAAGAGCGACACAGCUUAACACGUCAACAGUGGAGCACAGUGUGAACUUCCUCUUCUUCGUCUCUGAGUCGACCUCACAGCUCUGACUGCUCCAGCUGUUGCUAACUCUGAGACUCUGGCGUCAUCCGCCUCAGGAAAGAACAACUGUAUGUACACGGUGUUUGUGAAGAACAGAACAAACUCAAUCUCAGCCUUGUUUUCUGGGCCGCACCUGCUCUCUCUACUGUUGAAGACCCACACCCUGAUAUAAACACAGAAGCAGCAGAAGGAGACAGAGAUGUAGGAGUACUAUGACUGUCAAUGUUUUUUUGGAACUGUGCAACAAUCUGUGUCAUCUAUUUUUCUUUCUCCCACACAAACUUGUGCACAAACACAAGCAUCACAAAAAAAAAAAAAAAGGCUGGAGCAUCAAACGACUUAUGCCUAGUUUUAGAUUAUGGAUGAUUUACUACACAAGAGUAAAAUCAUAUGCGUGACUUUUCCAUUUCUCUGACCUUGAUGAAGUUUUUGGAUAAAUAGUCCUGUCUGUUUGUCAUGUGCCUCCUCCUGUUUCUCUACUUAAUCGUUGUUUUCAAACCUGAGCUUUUGCAUGGCACCACCGCUGCACUGACACUAUAUAAUUAACGGACUUGUUGUUUGUUACACUGUGCUCAUUACCAUUGUGUCUCUUCUUUGCACAGCUGUUUAGCGAGAGAUUCCUCCCACACAAUCUUUACUAAGUUGGUGUGAUCACAUGCUGUACUCAUAACUGUUUUAAACAUGGUUUAAAUAUUUUAUAGCCGUUUGUCUCCUUAAGGAGUGAUUCUGAAGUUGCAUUGAUGGACUGGGCAAAACCAGUGAUUACCAAAGUAAUCAACCCUCCAUGGGUUUACUGCAAAGGUUUUACAUUGGCAGAAAACUCAAGGACUGAGGUUCAGGCUGUCCCCGAAUAUGAGCCAGUCGUAAAGAGCCAUGGGCUUAAUGCUAAGAGGCUGUUUUUAGAAAUGAUAAUCUUUUGCCUUACUAUUGUCUUUGAGGUUUAUCCCCUCAUGAGUUAAAAUUAUGAGGGUUUUUUUUUUCUUUUAAAUGGGACCAGGGUGAACUGCUGGAACUGGACCAAGUACCUCCAAGACUAAGGGCAGCACCUAUAGGGCUCAAAUGGGCCCCUAUAGGGAUGCGAAUUACAUAUCUUGUUAACUUCAUCAUGUGUGUCUAUUUACUGGAUAUUUAAUUUAAUUUGAUGUGAUUUCAGCUGUGUUAAUUUGGUCAGGUUGUGUGUCCAAACGCAUGCCAAAUGCACUCAUCAGAUCAGAUAUAGAUCAGAAUAUAUCAAUAUAGAUCUAAAUAUAUGUGCUGACUCAGAUUAUUAGUUGUUGAUGAUUAUUUAUUUCACUGAAAUGUGCCUGACACUGUGGAAACCUGCCUGUGCGGCAUCGCUGACGUAUGCGUAAUAUGCCGUCGGUCUACCAAAAUACCACUAGACCAGCUGUGCGCCGCCUGCGCUGAAAGCUGACCAGGUUUGAAUUGGCAAGCUUUCAGUGCACUUUACACGCCGGCGGCGAGCACAAAAAUGUCACUGCACCAGCUGAUUCUGUCAACACCUCCCCCUGCCACGCCACCACGCCCAGCUUGGCAGACCUCGGUGCGCCACAGUCUACAAAAAUACCAAACUGGCUGUACACCGGGCUCCGCCAGACGAAAAUACCACUGCGCGAGGUCUGCCACCCUCCGCUGCAUCCCCCAGUGGACACAGAAAUAGAGCCCAUAGUGUCUAGACACUGACAAAAGGAGCACAGCAGCAGCAGAAACAUGUAAACUUAGAAUAAUAGGAGGAAGAGGUCAUAGGAUCAUAGGCUGCUUUGUGGUUUGUAUUGGCCAAAUAAACAUGAUGAUGAUGUUACGGCUGUGUGUUUGUUUUGCAUGUGUUUUUCCCCUUUUGUCUCUCCAUAGCUGCCCAGGUGAAAUCACUUGAGUGCCAAUCAGACUCACCUGGUGCUGGGAGUCUAAAAGCCCAGAGCUGCCUGCAGUCUGGAGAGGCAUUUGGUGGGGAACUGCUGCCCUGCUGCCCUGCUGCCUCUCAUUUGUGUUGUGGGUGCUUUGUGUCUAGUUUGCUACUUUGUUAUUUUGUCACAAUAAAUCACGUGUUAAACAUUUGAUGUUUGUUAAUUUAGUGGGUCAAAAGUUGAGGAUUGUUGUUAGCCCCAUAGGGCCGCCUAAGGGUGGGGCGUAACAAUGAUGAUGACCCAUGUCCUUCACACACACACACAGAGCGCCUGGCGAGUGAAGUGGAGCGUGGAAAAAAGGACGAGUGGAAAAAAGUCAACUGAAUGAAACAAAACAAAUACAAAGGAAAUUAAAUCUUUAUACUCAGUCUACGAAAUUAACACUGGCUACAACACCAAUCCUCGUGUCAGUCUUAUGAUCCAUUUUGCCCUAACUCGUGCUGAAAAGGACAAAAUGGUUAAAAGUGACACUGUUUGUAAACCAUAAGUGCUUCUUUCCAGUUGAUUUUAGAUAGUUAUUGAGAAUAAUACAGUGUACUUCAGGCACUGUGCACUGUUGAUAUGCUCUGGGACUGCAUUCUCGAUUUGAGGUGGGACCUCAGGAUUAAAAUGUUGAGGCCUGCAUAUAACCCUCCAGUAUGAAUUAAAAUAGAGGUAAUGAAUGACUCUGAAUGACAGCAGAUGGAAUUAGCUUGGCUCCCUAGCCUCACAAAGGGAACAAGUCACUCAUCAUCUGGACUGUUUGUGGCGCCUCUUUCUUUUUGCUAUGUUGGUGCAGAUUGGAAGGCUCCUGAGUAAACUUGAUAAGUUUCUCAAAAUUUGCUUUAUUUUUCAGUUCAAGCAUGCAUGUGAGGAUUUGGGUUGCCAUUUGAUUGAAAGACAAUUGUAUCGACACUUUUAAGCCACAAGUUAACUUGGACUUUUUUUUUUUUACCUUAACCAACUUAAUAAAAAAUAUUUCGGGUUAAAUCCUAACCCGACUUAUCAUAAAGUAAACAGGAAAUUGAUGCGUAACCAAAGUGCUGUUAAGUACUGAAGGGCCUCUCCUAACUUUAUACUACUUUGCUUUUGUUUUUCCCUCCUUUUCACCUUUUGAGUGACCUUUAUGCACAGUCCACAUACACUCAGAUAAUAGCUACAAAAUGAGCUGAAGGACAAAGUGGUUGAAACUGACAUCUUCAAAACCUCUUGCAAAUUAAUAUCCGACUUUUUGGCUCUGGUUCAAGUGUCUUGGUUGAGACACUGAAACAAAACCACUCCUUUUUUUGUCCCUGCUGCAAAAAUUAACAUUUUGGUCACAGGGGAUUAACACUGAGGGAAGAAAAAUGAAUCAGUUCUGGUGUCUGGUGCAUGACAUUGUUGUAAAGCGUUGUUGGAGUUCCUCUGAGAAUUAGUUUGCUUCUUAUCAAUGCCUUGUUCUAAUAGAGAGAGUGUCUGUGUGCUGACAGAGAGAUAGAGCGAGAGUGAAAGAUAUGAUACAAAUUAUAGAAAUGAGUGCAGAAAAGAGGAAGAAAAGAUGGUGAGAUAGUGUUUGAAAGGCAAGAAAAGGCUGUAAAGGAGAGAAUGGAUGGGCUCAUCAUUAUUGGUGUCAGUACAGUCUGAUUCAUUCUGGUAUCUACUAUUAUCUUGUUCUGGGAGGAAUUCAAACUCAUCUGUAUUGUCUGCACUCUGAUUAGGAACAAUACUGGAGGCAUGUGUGAACAGCUUUGCUGCAUGCUGAUCAGUGUUCAUUUGCACUACACUCAGUAUUUAUUGUUUGCUUUGUAUAUGUUAUAUAUAUAUUUUUUUAAAUCUGAGUGAGCAUUGACAAUAAUAGUAGCAUUUAAUAUAGAGAUUGAACGUCAUUUUCUUCUAUUAUUGAAGCCAAACAUUUAGAAAUUGUUGUUUAUUCCUGUCAGGCAGGCUAUCAUUAUAAACACCACAGACAAUAUGAAAACACAAAGUAUCACUUUAAGUGAUAACAAAGUUAGACUUCUGCAGGUGAAACUUUCUGGUCCUAAGUUAUGUCAGCAGUGAUGUCCACAUUAUAACCUCUCAAGGUUAGUCUCAGUUGCUCAGUAUCUAAAUGCAUUAUGAGGAGUUUGGAAUAGAAAUAUAACAGUCUCAUUAUUAUUAAACCAGAUCAUCAUGGACAUAAACUGUUUAUUCAUUAGGAUCUGUGCUCAAAGCUGGAAACCUUGUGAAAUCUCUUGUGGUCAAACUUGUCUGUUAAAAUGAUAUUCCAGCGUAAAUUUAAGUUAGGGUCAAACACAUCAAAACACCGAGUGAGACCCCCCUCAAAGAUCAAUCUUGCCGACCGCUUGCUUCUCUAGUUAUACCAACUUUAGUAAUGACCAGUACAUAUAGGGUCCCAGCCAUAGUACUAGCCACCAAACAUCUUUUUAGCUUUGCCUCAUUUCUUUAGCCUCAGCACCUCGGUCUGAUUGCAUUUCCAUGAGGUAAUCAUCAUAAAUGUUCUUCCAUAUCAACAUUUGCUUGCCCCCUGUCAGUCAAGUCAGCUGUGCCUCUGAUCUGCCAAUCUCAUUAUUAUAGAAGGCUACCUCCAAAAAUACAUCACUCUCCAUACAGUGGGUGCUGUGGGGGCCCUGAGGUAUUCAGAGUCGAUGUGGCUUCCUCCUCCACCAUGUGUUUGUUGUUCAUGUAUCAGUAUGGGUUGUCUUUUUUAGACGUCCGCCUAAGUCCAUGAGUUACAUUUACUGCCAUUGCCUUAACUGCAUUUGUUGAGCUUCUUUCUCUAGUCAGAUUGGUUUCUGAUUGGCUAUUAUUUCAUUCCACGUGACAAUGACCAGCUGUCCUUGGUAAUCAGCCAGACUCACUUGUGGUUUGUACCUUGCUUGAUAUGUACCAAGGCCUUUCUCAUCAGUCAGCUGUAAUUUCCUGUCUUUACAUUUUACCAAGCAUGGCUUGGAAAUAAGUAGGUUGAGACUUUUUGUAUAAAAUGUUCCUUUUUUUUUUUUUUUUAAAUUAAUGAAUGGUGUUCUAUGAGGUGGUUGUGAAUAAUAGUAAGGGCUCUAUUUUGGUGCCUCGCCGGAGAUCUGCCGCAAGCGCAGCGUCAAUCAGAUCCGCCGCGCUGACAAGGCGUUCCCAAGCACAUUUUGGUAUUUUGGUGAGCUGCGCAGCCCGGCGUAAGUAUCCCCCCUCCCUAACUCAGCUCCUCCCGGCAGCAUAAGUCGUAGACGGGGAGGAGAGAGGGCGUGUAGUGAGUUUAACACAGCCGAGACCUGUUUUCACCAAUCACAUAAGCUCCUCUCCUUGCCUUUUAAAUCCGCCACCGGCGAGGCGUAUUACUAUUUUCAUGAAGUAGUCAAAGAGAUCAAGAGAUGUCUGAAGACAGUUAUGCCACAAGAUGGCGACAGAGGGCAGCUGCUCAACAAGUGUCCUCCACACUCUCUCAUCUGAGCACGGAUGGAUUUGGUGUGCGUAAUGUUGGACCCACUGGUAAGACAAACACCCUUUUCCACAAAAAAGACACUCACAUAAAGUUGCAUAUAUUCAAACCUCACGUGACAAAGGUGGGUUUAGCGCACAGAUCACAACAUAAACUCCAAAAAUAGCAUUAAAAUCGGAACCAUCUGUGCGUAAAUGACGCAUCGCGCUCCGUGGCCUGGCUCUUUCUUUCAUAGAUGUUGGCAUAUAAAAUAAAUUUGGCUCACAAAACUGAAUAUUAUAAUAUCCGUAUGUCGGCUUAAAGUAGAUAACGCAUCUGAGCACUGAAACAAAUCAUCUGUUCAGCUGCAGCAGCAGCAAGACGGACAGAGGACACGGAGACGUGUCCAGGUCGAGCUGUGCGAGAAAUAAGAGGAAGAAAGAAAAGGAGGGAGACACAUUACAUAUCUUGUUAACUUCAUCAUGUGUGUUUAUUUACUAGAUAUUUAAUUUAAUUUGAUGCAGUUUCAGCUGUAUUGAUUCGGUCAGGUUGUGUGCCCAAACGCGUGCCAAACGCGUGCCAAACGCGCUCAUCAGAUCAGAUAUAGAUCAGAAUAUAUCUAUAUAGAUCUAAAUGUAUGUGCUGACUCAGAUUAAUAGUUGUUGAUGAUUAUUUAUUGCACUGAAAUGUGCCUGACACUGUGGAAACCUGCCGGUGAGGCAUCGGUGACGUAUGUCGAUACGCCGCCGGUCUACCAAAAUACUACUAGACCAGCUGCGUUCCGCCUUGCGCUGAAAGCUGACCAGGUGUGAAUCGGCGAGCUUUCAGCGCACGUUACACGCCGGUGGCGAGCACGAAAAUGUCACUGCGCCAGCUGAUUCUGUCAACACCUCCCCCUGCCACGCCACCACGCCCAGCUUGGCGGAUCUCGGCUCGCCUCCGUGCGACUCAGUCCACGAAAAUACCAAACUCACCUUACGCCGGGCUCCGCCAGACGGAAAUACAACUGCGCGGGGCUCGCCGCCCUCCGCCGCCUCACCGGCGCGAACGAAAAUAGAGCCCUAAGUGUACUGCUUACAGGUGAUCUCAGCCUCCUUGUGUCAAGUUGUCUGCAUAUGUCCACAUGAAGUAUCUUGUCAUUGUCACUGUCAGAAUCACCAACUGCUCAGGUUGUAUUUGUCUCCAAUGAAGCCUCAGACCCAACGAACAGAUCAGUGCACUGCUGGAAGAGGAACAAGUACCUGUUUUUAAACAAAGUCUCUCUCUGACUGCAAUGCCAAGCUUUGAACAUUUCUUCAAAUACAGAGGACACUGACACUGACAUCAGUAUUUGGGUGAGAGUUUUUUGAAAUGAACUAAAUUCCUGUGGUAAAGUUUUCCUUGUCUAAAUAGAGAUAUAGAAUAAUAUUCAUUUCUAUCUCUCCCUCUACCCAUGCCACGAACAGAUCUGCUUUAAUACGACAUGGCUGGACUUUAAGCUGGUUUUUAGCCACAGGCUUCAUUCAGGCUUUGGCAAGAUUUAAACACUGGAGCAACAUACACUAAUAAUAUCAGCGACUGCCUCAUCCAACCUCAUGUACAUCAACUUUAUGUAAAGUGCAAGCAGGUAAUCAGGCAGUCAUGCUCACAUGCACGUACCUCUUCAACAGCCUAGUGUGACUCAUGUCAUUAUUCAGCAGUAUUCAUUCUUGUAAUUAUAAUUCAAUGACAAGUCCACAUUAUCACUCUCAUGCCUCCUGGCCAGUUCAAGCUGAAAAAGGCUCCAGGCUCAUGUUGACCCUGAAUUAGAAUUUAUUCAUUUAUAUUCAUCUAUAUGUUAAAUGAAAGGCUACAGCAUAUGUGUAUAAGCAAUGGUGAUGUUUACAUUUUAUCUUUGUGGGCAUUAUAUAUAUAUAUAUAUAUAUAUAUAUAUAUAUAUAUAUAUAUAUAUAUAUAUAUAUAUAUAUAUAUAUAUAUAUAUAUAUAUAUAUAAAGCUGCUGUCAGACACAUGCUGCACAAACCAAACCCAUUAAAGUGUUCAUAAUACAGCAGUGGGUUUUUGAUUGGGGGCUGUGUGCAUGUUCAUUUUGUUUGAAUUAUGGAAAAAUGUUCUAAAAUAGACAAGGAAAAACACACUGGACUUUCCUCUCAUGGAAAUCAGACCAUCCAUCCACACACCAUGUCAUGUACAUGCAAAUAUAUACCAGCUAGAGCAAUGAGAAGUGAUGCUUUUUUAUUCAAUAUAAGCACUCAACACAAAUACAUCUUUACAACCAUGUUCUAUAGUCUGAACUUUCAAUGAACGUAUGUUCAUGUUAAAUUCCCAGGACCUCACAAAUUUAAAGACAAAGUGUUAGACUCACACCCAUUUAUUCUAGGUGUCCUAAAACUGAUCUCAGCUAUUACAUCAGCUAAGAUCAAUUAGCUUACCUGGGCAAUUUAUAAUUGAUUGAGCAUUGGCGAUUUAAGUGGAUCAUCUCACCCUAAUCAUAAUCAUGUGAGUGGUCAUAAACAAAUUACAAUCAGCAACCGAGUUAUUUGUGCAAGUUCCCCACAAAUUGCACUGCUGCAGAACCGUGGCGAUUUUUGCCAUCAGCCAAAUCCUACCCGAUGCGUUUGGGAAGGGAAUUUCGGACAGUGGGAAUCGCGAGGACUCACAAGAACCCACGAAAUUAUAUGCAAGCGCACGAUAACUAGUAGUGCCCAUAGUGGUUUAUUUUGAAAAGAAGCUGGUUGUUUUAUUUUGUAUGCAUGCCUGACUUCCUUUCCAGCACAGGCUAAUCUGUGCUGAAUUUAUACAGCAAUAAAAAUAGAACCCUGGCGAUCAGCUACAAAGCCCACUGAAAUUGCAGCCUAUGGAAAUGCCAUGGUUCAAAGGGGGGAAACACUUACAUAUGCAAUACAUAUGUAAAACGAAAGGACAAUAUGCCACAGUAGAAACCUUGUGAAUGACACAUCAGCAGUGUGGACAUGUUUUAAACUCCAAGGUCAAAACAGUUCAACAGUCACUUGACUCUAACAACAUGCAAGGCAGUAGCAGUAAAGCUGCAAAACCGCCAGUUGGAUCCGACAUCAAAAACAUGCAACAGUUUUCACAGACAGAGAAGGAAGCCAAGGUUGUUUCUCCCCCUAAAGAAAUAAAAAUAGAGGAAAACACAAGCAUCAGCUCAGGAUUCGGUGCCAGAGGGGAUGAGGGGCCAAAGUGCUGAUCACGAUACUCCAAUAUUUUUUUCAUGGAUGCACCCAGUAGGAAGAACUGGAACCAAAGAAGCCUGUCUAUCAAUUCCGUUAGCUGCCUUACUCACCUCCCAAAACAAAGUGGGGUUAAAUAGUCCUCUGUGACCUAACAGCUCCACAGUGAAGCCCCUGAAUCAUAUACCCAAUUCAACAGGCAUCUUAAACACACACACACACACACACACACACACACACACACACACACACACACACACACACACACACACACACACACACACACACACACACACACACACCAGGCUUUGUUAGUCCUUUGCCUGUAUGUUUUUAUUUUAUGUUUUAUUCAAUCAUGCAAUAACACUUCAAUCACAAAAGAGACAAAGCCAUUGUUUGGGAUAGAGAGCAGAUGAUUCAGAGCAGUGAGAGGUUUUUGCAGUGUUGGAUGAGAACUGUGCACAUAGCAUGGUAGAGGUUGAAGUGUUGGAAGAACGGGGUUUAGUUUUGGUGGACCACCACAAAGUGCUUUGUGGUUAAACAGACCCAAGCUUCUCCUUGGCUAGGGCAAAGAAGAAAGGUUUGGAGUACAGUGGGAAUUCUUCAAACCCAGAAGAGAAGUCAAAAUGAUAAAUCUAUCUCAAGGAAAUCAGUCUUUACCAAAAUUAAAUAUCCCCACAAGGAUAAAUAAUAUUUUUCUUAUCUUAUCUUAUUAGCAGCUAAUCAUGAUUUUUUGCAGCUGCAGGAUCUAAAGUGAGAAUAGUCUUAUUAAGAUUACUGAGUCUUUAUAAGGCAAUUCAUGUUGAAAAAUGUGUACAUUUUAGAAACUGUAUUCACUGUUUUCAAAAACGAUGUUUUCUGCAAGUGUGUUACAGUCUAGUAUGUCAAUUUAUCUUAAAUGAGCAAGUAAUGGCUCAGCUCCAAAGUGUGCAUGAGGCAGAAUGGACAGACUGGACAAGUUGAUUUCAGGUAGUUGCAUGACUGAGUUACAAGGCUCCCUGUAUGGUUUCCUUGUGCAUCUAAGCAAGGAGUGUUUCAGUGCCUUGAGAGGAAGGGAGGAUGCAGAACAGUGGUGAGAAUGCAGGUAUUGAUCCCGCUACCUCUCACGUGCUAAGCGAGCGCUCUACUAUUUUAGCUAAUUCCCUGGUGUACACUGUUCCCAAACAGAGUGGAAAAACACCAGAAAAGCUGCUACUUUGUUAGCUGUUAGGGCCAGCAACAGAGAACCCGAAUGGCUGAGAUUCCCCUUAGAGUACACGAGCUGGCCGAGUGGUUAUGGCGAUGGACUGCUUAUCUAUUGCGCUUUGCGUGUGCGAGUUUGAAUCCCAUCCUUGUUGUACUUCCUUGUAGUUUAUGACACCGCCUCUGCAACUUGCAUGGAACUUCUCUUCUACUGCAAAACUUGCUUCAUCCAGUCAUUGGAGUUUGCUGCCAGCAACAAGAACGAUGUGCCAUGAAGUGCAUCUUGGAACAGGUCACUACCCCCUGCAUGCUCACUUUUCUGUAAGGUACCGCCCAAUGCUGCCCCCUUUCACCCAGUGGCUGUGGUGGCAGAGAGGAGGUCCCUGAAAGGGUCUAUGAAAUUUUUGAAGACAUAGAAGUAAGAGGCAAUGGCUACUGUAGCAAGACAGAUGCUUUUUACUUAGCAGAUCAGAAAGCUGCCAGACAAGUGUGGACUUAAACUAAUUUUAUUAAGCAUCCUGGUAUAUAAACUCUGAACCAGUUUCUAGUUAGAGCUGAGAAGUGUCAUUAAGCAGUUAUUAAUGUGUUGAUUUUCCUUUAACACUGAUUAACAUUAAUCAAUGUCAAUCAGCACCCUAUAAGGUCUUGUAAGUGGUUUAUUAACUGUAAACUAAUGCCCAAAGUGGUUGGGGUAAUUCCCUUUUAUUUAUAGGCAGGCUUUUGGUGUGAUAUAGGUUAGUCAGUGUGUGAGCUCACUUUCCUGGCAGAGUCAGGUAAAAAAGCAGAUUCAUACGCACUGUGAUUUCUACGGCUGUUUUCUCAGCACACACUCUAAACAGCAGAAGAGUAACUGUGCGGUGGACCUCAGGUUUUGGACCAGGUGUUUGUCGGUCAAUGGCACAGUCACAAGAAAACAAUGUGCCACUCUGCACCUGACCAAACCUUAUUUUAAGACCAAGACACCCGUAGGGCAUAAUGUGGGUGCAGACUAAUUUGAUAUUUACACAAUGUAGGCGCAUGCAGGGCAUAAAAAAUGACAGUGCAUCUGAUGACUAAUAGCAAUGGCACCUGCACUAUGCACCAAGAAACCUUAGAAUAUGGUCCUAUGUGUUCUGCAGGAAAGAGCUAUCUCUUUUCAGUCUGUUUUUCAUUUCAACACAAUCAGACAUCCAGUGAAGAGGAUUUAAGCAGCGUUUUGAGGACAGUCAAAAAGUGUUUAACAGAUUUACCCAAAUUUAUUACAAUGAUCAGAUGUCUUACCUUACAGUUUUCAGACUUCAUUUCAUGACCAUCAGCUCAUCUUUUCAUCUGUUUCAUUUCUAGCUCUGCCAACCAGCAUUGCAGCGUUAAUGUUUCAUGGUUACAGGCGGACCAUGUCAUGGACAACCAAGCAAGCUGAGCAUAUGACUCAUCUCUGUUUUAAUCAUUUACACUUUUAGUCCACUUGUUCCCUCACUUUUUUUAAGUAGCACCACAUUAAAAAAUCCACUUUACCUAAGUGGGCAGUGGUGUAUUUAUUCCAGAGGCCUUUUCUGUGGAACACUUGUAUUUAAACUCCUUCAGUGAAGCCUUUCCAUAUGUUGACCUUUACCUCCUCAUUUUACCUCAUUCAGUUAAAGUGAUAGCCAAUGGAGCAUGUCAGCAGCAGCAACUCUCAGUACAGAUGUAAACUCAAGCAUAUCAAGUUUCCAGAUCUUGGCUAUUAAACAAAUAUUACUCACCCCCAAGUUGGUAAUUGUGUGUGCUUGUGUGCAUGUGGGUGUACAGCAUUGUUGUUUGCAAACUCAAUAGCAUGUGCAAGCUGAUCUACUAAACAUGUUCAAUGAGGAUUGCGUCUGUCGAAUGAGUGAAACAGCACGCGCAAUGCAUUUAGCAUGUUUGCCUUCAUGAAUAUGCAGAAUGUAUACAGAUUAUGAAAACACGCAAAAUACUGGGAGGAGGAGGUGCAGGAGGAGAUGCAAAUGGAAUCAUUUAGCACUAGCGAUAUGAUUUAUCAAACCUAAAAUUGGAAUGUUGGAAAGGCACGUGCAAACCAGCACAGAAUUGGGUACAAAUUGCUGCGGUCAUUGUGGCGAGGAGGAGGCAAAAGUGCAAUGAUAGACGAAGAGGGUAAAGAGUUUUUUGUGUGCGUAUCAACGUAUCUAGACUGGGAGAAAUUAAAAUAGAAGAGUAGUAGUAAAAAAAAAUUCAAUUUUUGAGCUGCCGGGUGACCUAAGGGCUGAUUUGGGGCGAGUCACAAAAAGGAUCCAGUCCAUAUCUCCUAUUGAAAAACUCCUUGUAACACUGCAUUUUCCUGCAUCUGGAUCAUCAGAUGCUAAUAGAAACUUGUUUCCAUGUUUUUGCCAGUUAUUUAUAAGCAAAUGUAUGAUGUGAUUUCUUCUUUAUAUGAACUGGUGUUACUUUUUUUAUUAGAGUUAUUAAUAAUAGAUAAAGAGUUCAAUCACAACCCAGCAUUUAGCACAGUGGGGUGAUUAGUAAGACAUUCGUAGAUUGAAAUAAACUUGUGGUAAUGGUUCAUAAAGUUCAAGCUGUAGGAUGCUCCUUUUAUGUUAGUUUUUCCUCCUUCACUUACUUCCUGACCUCAUCAUGUUUACAUUUUCAUUGAAGUCUUUCACUCCUAGCUCCCAACAUUUUAUUUUUGUCACAACAAUUGCAGUCACUUGAACACAAAAACCUGCACCACUCAAAGCUUACCUCGUACUCAAUACUACGUUGUAUAAGUAAGUGUGCUUUUGAAGAUUGAAUGCGAAUACUCAAAGAUUUUAAGUGUCCUUGCCUGUGAAAUACAAGGACAUAUCUGAAUACUUUAAGAGGAAACAGUCAACACUUUGAAAACAGACUCACUGAGAAAUAAUCUUAUUUAUUGUCAAUGCAGGAUUUGCAAGUCUUGAUAAACAGCGGUGGUGACAUCUAGACAGAAAGGAAUUGAAAAGUUAGGCAGAUGUAUAACUCUUAUGAACUGAAUUGUUUAAAGACGCAUGAUACUUAAGUUUUGAAAUAUUCUUUAGUAGACAGAGCUUGUUACCUACUGAGGAGCAUGACUUUGGAAAUCAGUUUUGAACACUAGAGGGACUGGGUUAAAAAAAAACAACUGAAACUGUGGAAUUAUUUUCCCAGUGACUCAUGAAGGACACUACCAGCCAAAGUACCUCUGCACAUGCACAGUGUCAUCAUUGCAAAUGUUGCAGCAAUAAAGUGACAUUGCCCAUUUUAUGUACAGUCAGUUGUGGAAACAAACAAUGUGAUACAAUCAAAUAUUCUUCAAUGUUUGAUGUGUUGUGUCUAAAUCUUUGAUUUCCCUGGAGGGGAAGCCAAUCCACAACAGCUGGGUCUACAGGCACCCCUUCAGGACAGGAAGGACUGAUGUAGAGUUUUGAGACCAAUCCUCUUCUCUGAAGGUGGAAGUUGUCCUGAAAGUGACCUUAAGACAUAAUAGCCUCAUCACAAAUGGUAUCCAAAUAAAAGAGGGUAGGUACCACAGAUUAUACCCAGGAUUUCUUGGCAUAAGCGAAACCCAAAAUCUGAGUAAUGGACAACAGUUAUUAACUUCCUCUGUUCACUUGCACAUUUUAACAGUUUAGUCUAAAAUCUGCAUUUAGGUCCUGACUAUUUCGACCAGCAGGUUUGGCGAUGAAAGAAAUCAGCUUCUCAGAAUCUCUGUGAAUUAUCUAUCAAAUUUCCUUCUCUCUCCACCUUUCUCUUGGAUUAAGGGCAUAUGACAAAGCACAAAUUUCCAAAUACCCUAAUUAGCCACUCAGAAGAAAUAAUAGGAUGAUGAAAGGAUUGCACUAUCAAAGCAGAAGUCGCAGAAAGAAAGUGAGACCCGCUCUCCGACUGCUCUCAUCAGCAGUGGGCUAUAAUGCACAGCGGAGAAGGAAGGCAGGGAAGAUGAUGACUGAGGGUUUUACACAGAAAGGUUUGCAUCUUUAUGCAGCACAAAGACUUAGAUUUGUCCUGCAGUACUGCAAAGUCAAGCAAAACUUAAAAAACUGAAUUACUGAAGGCACUUUCUGGCCUCACACGCUCUUUAACAGAUCUGCAGUGGUGAGUGUAUUACAAUAUUCAUUGUGAUGUAUUGUGUGGUGUGACUGCCUGUUGCUGCUUUUCCUUUUUCCCCUGGGUGGUCUACGUCUCAUUUAGUAGGAAACACAUCUAACCAUCUCUCUCUCUCAUUCAGCUGUAGUUUUUAUGUAGAGGUAUAAAAGCAGGAACAAUGAAACAGCAACAGGAAGAGACAAUUUCAAAUCUAAGACGAAAAACAAUAACAGGCUACAUCAGUCCAUUCUGAAGAACACUAUUCCUGAAUCUUUAUAGUUUUGCUGAGGCCUACAAGGCAAGUUCUUUGGAUUCUGUUUGCGUGACCUUGUAAAGUCUAAUUUGUGUGGUUGCCUCAUAAUGUGAAAAAAUCAAACAUGAUUUAGACAAUCAAAUGACUUUAUUAGACAAAGUCUUCAACAACAAAGAAGUUAACCCCCAAGGUGAACUCUGCGAGUGACAACAGAGAACUCCUUGAAAGCAGAACAACCCUGAAUGAAUGUGUGAAAGAGAUGGAGGGAUGGAUGGAUCAGACUUCUCUAUUACUGACAUUUUUUUUGUCUUCUUUUUGAAGUGUGAGUGUUUAGACGAUGAUGAGCAGGUAAAUUAUGCAUCUGUCUGAUGGCAGAAAAUUGUCAUUGUGAGCUUGUUAAUCUUACAGAUUAAUUGUUCAUUUUAAAUCAUUACAUGAGCAAAAACUCAGUUUAGAGCAGAUACAAUAAAAAUGAGAACUCAAUAAACUUCUGCUCUUACAAAAACAAAGCAAACAUCAGUAAAUCCAAAUGUCCGAAAUUUCAUUGAUCUCUGAAAGAGAAUGUGAAUCCCACAUGUUAACUUUCUUUGGACUUGCCAAGUCAAGGCCGUUAAAAAUAGCCAUGUUUGUUAAAGGAAAGAGAGUUUGAUUACUCUCUAAGGCCUCUCACUCUAAGGCACAGAAUCGCAGGGAGUUAACACUGGUGUAUUUGUUGAAAAUAGUUUUGUUGUUGUUGUUGUGUCAAACGAUAGAAAAUGUUUUAUCUUCUCUGACAAAGAAAACUUGUUGAGUUUGAAAUGGCAGGCACAGUGCUGGUUAAGUAUGAUAAGUUUAAUUCCCUCAGGUGAAUAAAAAAUGUGGGUGGUAAGAUUAAAAAAAAUUGUUAUUUUCCCUCACAGAGGAUAUUCAGGAGGUCCAAAAUAAAUGGACCAGUAACUUCAUUUUCAAGUACUGAAGCUUUUAUCAUCUCUUACAGACUAAUUCAUGAAAAAAUGGGAACCUUGUGUGGAAACCUUGAUUUUAAAUUAUCAUAAGUUAUAAGCCAAAUUGUCCAAAUAAGACAAAAAAAGCUUGAAAUACUUUACUUGUCAUCCAACAAAUAGAACACGUGAAAGUUUAAGUUGUGAAAAAAAAUUAACCAAAAUAAGAGCUUUUAAUCUAUUUAUACAAAACAGUCCCAUUUUGUUGAAAUCAGCUUUAGGUUUCCACUACUCUCAUAAUUGUGCAAUAAAAUAAGGGUUAAGGUGCUCUUGAACAUCCAGGUGUCUCGCCCACGCACAGCACAUGUUAUAUUUUGUUCCUAAUGUACUUUCACAAGCGAGUCACGGAGGCGUAAUGUAUUUCUGAUGUGGUUUAGCAGUGGACCCUAGAGUUGCUUCUUUGUUCCUACUCUUCCAGGUAGUGUCUCAUGCUGUGUGGUUGAUGUCCAAAACCAUUAAAGUCGAGCUCAACGUUGCUGCACACAGACAGACACAUAUGGAAUAAACCAGUGGAGGCCUGGCUGGGUGUAUGAAGUGAAUGACAUCAUCCACCCAUGCAGCCAGCGUGGGCUCUAGUUCACAUUUCCUGUGGCUGUCCUGGAGCCCUGAGCGAACAAACAAAUUUCCCAUGAACUGCAUGUACUUUAACGUUCUAAUCCUGCACUUUUCCAUGUCACACAGACACAUAGACACACACACACACACACACACACACUGAUGAGCCUGCCACUGUUUUAUUCAUGUCAGACACACAUGCAUCCCGUAAAUACACCUACAGAGGUCAGGCAUACCAUAAACCAUUAGGUUCAAAGGACAUGUCAGUAUGUUUGAGCAACACGCAGCCUGGAGCAUGCAGCCUCUGUCUCCACCUGCUGAUGUUUAACUCCCUCCCAGUGUGUGUGGUCAAUUAGAGCACUUAGUUCAAGAAUACAUCUGCUUGUGUGAGCACUUACUUUACUCCUCAGUGUGACCAAUCUGCUGCUCCUGACAGUGAUAGCAAUUGUCCAGCCUGUCAUGGUGCUAAUGAAUCACUUAGCUAACACAAACACACACAUAUACACACUCACAAUACACACACAUUAUGUGGCCACCAAGAUAUCUGCAUGUAGUCACACUUAUGCAACUGCCCACUGGCAAGGCGCCUCUUUAAUUACUGAGCUCAAGUGAACAUCUGUUCCUGUCAUUAUAAUUAAUAUGGACUGUAUGUUGACUGAGACAGAGCCAACCAUUUAUCUCUGAAGAGAAAUCAGAGGCAACAAUACGCAUUUUAAAUGACAGUGUCUUAAUAUCAACAAAGUGCAUCUUUGUAAACGAUCAUCAUUCUGUUCUCUGUUAUAAGAUGUUAAGCACGUUAUAACAUCAUUAUUAUUAGUAGUAGUUGUCGUAGUAUUUUAAAAACAAGCUUUGCGUGUUGCAGAUGUAAGGAGAGUACAGCUGUAUUUUCAGCGUAUUCUUUAUAGCUGCAGGUGAAGAUCAUGAAAUAUUGGCCCCUUUCCAUCAUGGAGCGACAUGACUCAUACUCAGAGUAUAACGCUUUUUCAAAGGACCGUCAAGACUCAAUAGCAGACUCCAUAGCUCAAACGUUAUUGAUUUGUGGAUUUUGAAAAGGUUAACUGAACCUGGUUGUAGAUCCCAUCCCUACUUACAACUGAGUUUCUGAUGUGAGCUGACUUUUUGUAGGUUUUUUUUAUUACCACCUGUUUAAAACCUGAUAUUUCUUAGCCGUUUCUUUGGGGCUGUGGUUAUCAGGUGUCUGCAACUCAAGCCAGUUCAUCCAGCUCCUGCCAUCUCUGGACUUUAUUGGAUUGAGGACCCCACAUCAAGAGCUUAGUUACAUUUCAUAAUGGCAUCAGGUCAAAUAGGUCCAUGCCAUUUCAGGUCUGCAUGAACAGUUUAUAUCCAUGAGAAAAUUAAAAUCAAUAAAUUUCUCUGACAGGCUGAGUUAGCUGAGGGUCACCAGUCUGCUACAAGUGUGUUGUGGGUACAUCUUUUACUGCCUCCAUGCAUCCCUCUCAGUGAUGCUAAUGAUUUUUGUUUAUUUGUUAUUUCUUGCUGCUUUUGCCAUUAAUAACUCCAUGUCAAAACCUUGAUUAUCCUGGUUUGACAAAAUGUUAGAUAGCAUAUUUUGUAUAGUUUUGCUCAUCUCUUAAUUAUCAAAGAUGAAGAUGCUGUCCAGAGUGUCAUGAACAGUCUGUUCAGCACUGUUGUGAAAGUGCAAUCCAGCCCUUUUCUUGAAACUCCAUCACUGCCAAAAAAUGAUUUUUAUUGGAUUUUUUUUUUCAUCUUGGCUAAGAGAAAAUGUCACUCUAUAAAUACUUUUAUCAAUGUGCAAAGACUGCACAUCAGCAUUGUACUGUUGUGAGAGUCCAGACAUCAUAGUUCAAGUUGGAGAGACACAGGAUUAAGUGUUAGGAAAAAACAGUUCAUGAUUAGCUGAAUGAAUGAGUUGAACAAGAGACUACAAGUAAAGACUAAAAUGUUCAUGACUUAAAUUAAGUUCCACUUAAAUCCAACUGUUUAUCUUGAUGCUACCUCAAAUUUUAAUUUAAUAGAUUGUAAUUGUUGUUUUUUUAAUCUUAAACAUAUGAAAAAAAAAAGGAGUCUGUAAAGCUAAAUUAUCUCUGCUGCACUUCAGACCGUGUAAAAGGAAAGUUCUGUGAGUUCUUUAAAAAGGACGAGAGAUUAUUUGUGUUGUGUUUGUAUCAUAGACUGUAUGUACACUGUCUGCCUUCUCGCUGGGUGAAGCCACUGUGAGAACAGCACCCUCUGUUGACGGGCUGCAGUAUAGGUCAUAAAUCCUGCCUCCUCCAGCAAUCCUGAUGGCGCUGUGGACAAACUUUAGAAAUUAAUUACACAGAGUAUAAAUCCCCCGACCCCCGGUUGUGAUGUUGACAUGUAGUUAUUGUAAGACUGGUUUGUGCUGAAGUCCUCUUUUUUUCUGUGCAGCUCCAUUUUUAAAAGUUAUAAGGGGUUCAUGUUUCCACGAUAGACACUUAAUACAGCCUUUGGGCGUAUGAAGAUUGUGCAGCUCACCCUGGGGAUACACUGUUUGAGCCGAGCCUCAUUACAGUGACUCUCCCACGGAAUUUGUACAACGCUACUAUGCAAGUGGUGGUUCCAGGAAGUGGAGAAAAUCCUGGAAAUACCAAGAGCAAUUCAGCUUCAAAUUCCUAUAAUAGCGGAAGGUGGAGCCAAGUUAUAUACAGUCCAUGGUUUGCAUCCCAUAUGAACUAAUUUUUUGUGUACCUUUACAUCUCUAUUUUUUUGUGUGUGAUACUAGUUGGCUUUGAUUUCUUGACUUGUUUCUGAGGUGUGCUGUUUUAGCCAACAACAAUAUUCAGGGCAAGAACAAUAAUUAUAAUCUCUGUUUUUAAAUUACAAGAUUAAGCACAUCUGGCUCGAAGCACAGGGACUUUUUGGUAUGUUAUGCUCUUUUUUUUUCUUUUUUUUUUAUAUGAAGGGAAAAAAGAUGUGACUUCUUACAUAUCAAGUGAAUAAAUGAUUUCUUAAGAGUACUGAAUUCUGCUCAAACUUUCAUAAAACAAUACUAAGUUAUUAAAUUCCUGUAACUUUCUGUGUUUAUGUAACAUGUAAGGACAGGGAUGACAGGGAUGUCAUAUGUUUAUGGGUGGAUUUUGGUUUCUAGGUAAUCCUCUAUCAUUAGAUUUUUAAUCAAUCCAAUCUGCACCAUAUCUUCAAACUGUAUCAUCUGUUUGUAAUUAAACUGGAGCAGAAUUUGGCGGAAGUUUACAUGAACAGUGUAAGGCACAUUGUGACGACCACCUUGCAAUAUUUACAAAUUGAAGAGCUGUUGAUAAAUUCCAGUGAUAACUGAUGAACUAACCAUAUCUUUACUGAUCCAUGUCCGUCUGGACACAGUCUCCACCUGAUCUGUAGCUACUGAUCAGGCCAAAUAAUUCAGGACCCAUGGACAGCUCAAACCCACAGCUGUCAAAAAAAAAAUAAUUCCUUUGUGCCGCAGGCCAUUAAAUGCCUAAAUACCCAAAAAGCCAUAGUUAGUCACCUACAGUCUGCUCAGCUGGUCUAAUCAGGUUAAAGUUGAGACUGAGGAAGUGUGAUUAUGAUGAUGUUACUUAUUUUUACUGUUAAUUACGUGUGAAAGUUGUCUACAUGCUGUUUUAUUUUUAUAAUUUUUUUAUCUGUACUGUUCUUGAUGAAAUGCCAAAUGUGUGAUCUGCUGCAAUUCAAUUCCCCUGUGGGACAAAUAAACUACUACUUUUACUACUACUACCCUCAUUGAAAAUCGCCAUCCAAAAACCAGCAGUGUUUAUGCAAUCCAUUAUGCAGCAGUCUGUAUGGAGUUUGGAGUCUCAUCAACAGUGGAUUAGAAAUACCUAGAUAUUAUUAACAUUAGUCAAACAGCUGUCAAGGCAAGAGUAGCUAAAGUUUAUUUGGACCAGUUACUGACAGCUAAAAAUGACCCUUAUGGUUCUUUUAAAGGUGUUUUAGUGCCAAUAUAAGAGAACAAGCUGACAGAAUAGGAGACUCUGAAAUGCAGAAUGUUGACAGGCGACCAAAGGAAAAAGUCUACGGUCUAAGCAAAAGUGUUGUCAGGGGCGACAGACAAAUAAAAAGAAGACAGACCUACAUGAGUGUAGGUUUGUGUUUGUUUAAGAGCUGAUACUGUCAGUCUGUCAGGGCUGUUAUCUGCACUGUUACUUUAACACCUCUAUUUUAAAACACUCCAAGUUCUCACUUCUGUUUUGCUGUUUGUAAUUUGUCUUAUAAAUGUUGUAGGGCCUUUUUUAAUUGUCUUCUUUCAUUGGUUUAUGUCCAGUGUAGUUAGCUUUUUGCUGAAGUGUGCUUCAUAAAUGAAUUAGUCUUAUAUGAUAUAAAAAAUAAAAAAAAAAGAUUCUACAAUAUUUUUUGAAUGCACAAACAAAGUUUUUUGUUUUUUGUUUUUUUUUGUGCCAAUCCUCAGAACUUGAAUCAAAUUGCCUUAAGCCAGAGAGAGGAUGCAUCUUUACUCUCUGCAUUUCAACCCACACUGAGCAGCAAUUCUCGCACUUUUGACGAAAGUUCUCUGGUUUGCAGUCAUUCUAGGGUUAUUGACUAGAACUAAAUUUAGGUCUUGUGUUACAUAUUUUCUUCAUUUUAUAUGUCUUGCAUUUUUAUUUCAGUGUACACUAUGUAACAGGCACCGCAUGACCUGAUCUCUAGUUAAAAAGUACAUCGUGGGAUGUUUAUACUGAACCUCAGCAAAUUUCAAUACACACGGAUGUUUGUGUCAUGCUCUCCUGUUCUGUUGAGACUAUGUUAGAGGAUAUAUCCACCCAGCAGCUCCAACAUGGCUGAGCUUUCAACAUUUCCCUAACCCAAGAAAGUCCAUCUCAGUGCUCAGCUUUCCUCCUCUGCUCUUCAUUGUUUCAGUAUGUCAAAGUAAAUUGCUUCCAAGUCUUGUAUUGGAUUCAAAGGACAGUCACAGCUAGUAUCUCUUUCCAAUAAUGAAGGCACCAAAAAACACUGGUAAGUUUUCAUAUCUUUAAAAGCCAGUAUGAGCUGGAUUUGCAUCUCAGCUGUGAUAAUCACAAGUUGUCAGUUACAUUAUAAAAGCAGAUACAGAAGAAAUAGCUGACAUGUUACCACAAAUAAAUGAGAGCUAAAAAUAUUUCUGACAUUGUAGCUAUGGAAAACCAUGAAGCGUUUCAGGCAGAGGCUAACCCCCAAUUUCCACUGCAUCUGGAAUGGCUACAAAAAGGCAGUAUCCGCCAAUCGCAGCUGAUCAUAACCAUUCAAGUUAAUGUGUCAAAUUUCCACCGGCUUCUUUCUGUUCUGCUGCGGAUCGCUGGGCUCCACAGCUGAUCACAAGUGUUCUAUUUUUUUCCAGACGCCAGAGCAUGCCGGUUAAAUUCAGCACAGACUAACCCAUGCUGGAAAGGACACAAAAUAAAACAUCCGGCUUCUUUUCAAAAUAAAACACUCCAUGUUUCAGGCGGAUCGUAUUUCACACCAUGCAAACGGGCAAGCAAGUGAAAGGUUUUUAGACAGCAUUUCAUCCUGAUGACACCAUGGAUGAGGGGAUGCUGAUUUUGGAAGACUAGAAGUAAAAUUCCACCUCUGGAGGGACACAAUCUACUGCUUAUAUGGUUAGCCUAUGUGGCGAGAGACAACUUGUAAUCUCGCGAUUGCAUGUGAAUCCGCGGGUUCUUGUGAAUUCCCACGAUUCCUGCUGUUGGUAAUCUGACACAAAAUUCAUCUCACAAACGGAUCCAGUAGGAAUCGGUGGACGGCAAAAAUCGCUGACAUUCCUGAUCAGAGCCGUUCUGGAUGCAGUGAAAAUUGGGGGUAACUCGUGCUAGAACAGGGUUUGUCUCUAACUCAGUAUAAGAUAUACAAGGAGGUUUUUGAGCUGAAAAUCAUGUUAUGUUUCUCUAUAGGUGACCCAAACUGACGUAAUGAAAGGUGAGUACAAUGAAUUUCCUCUACAAACUGACCACUCAGAAUUAGAGUUCUUCUUCGCUCCAACAGUCAUGACAAAUAAAUGAAUAGUGGAUUAUCUUUCCAUUCUGCCAGAUGAAGCUCACCGUUCCAGUCUUCUGCUUUGGUUUGAGUGACACAUUAUUUGUCUAAGACAAAGUUUAUGUCCUCCUGUUUAUCAGUCUGUGUGAGUGCGCGACUGCAUCCUCCCGUGUUCUCUCUGUACCCGCCAUUGGCCGCCAGGGACGCACAGGUGAUAAUGGAUGUUUGUAUCCUGGGAAAAGCUUUGUCUGGAGUCCAGAGAGAGAAUGACCUGCCAUCCUCAUUCUGCAAAGACUACACAGCUCACAGUGUGUGUGUGUGUGUGUGUGUGUGUGUGUGUGUGUGUGUGUGUGUAUUUUGUCUGGGUCCUAUUUGCUCAAAUUAAAUUCUGCUGUUGGGAAUGGUCACUGGGGAAACUCAUCUCCAGGUGGGAAAACAUUCCUGUCAACUCUGUCUCUGGUUGUUGUGACUUUCUAAAUCUCCUGACAACUAAAUUCCUCAAAACUACCUGAGCUAUUAGCUUGUAAAGUUAGAAAGAGAUGACUGUUACAAUGCCCGUCAUACUUGGUAUACUACCUCUGUUAUCGUAGUUUUUGUUGAUUUGUGCCACUUCAUAUGAAAACAGUCUGAUGUUGGCAGCAUGUUCCAGUCAUUUCUACAGAAUUAAACUACAAUGACAGGAUUGCAGUUUUCUGAAUGAUACACUAGAAAAAAAAAAAAACACACACACAUGCAUUUUCCAUCUCACACUUAUAUUCAUCACGAAUGGUGAGGGAUGCUACACAAAAUGUUCUUACACAGUGACUGCUACGCCUGAUGGAAUCAUUUAUGGCUCCAUCCACUGCACAGGGAUGUUGUGUCCCUUCUGUACAUUAACUUGCUGUUUUUUCAAUCCUUACUAUUGACUACUAUCUUUUGUAGGUUUGUGGGGCCACUAAUAGAAAACUGUCACAAUGUUUGUCUCAACUAUUUUCAUAUUUUAAGCCAUCAGCAUGCUGCAGGUGAAAACAGAUUUGCUGUUUUGUUCUUUGGAAACAAAAAAAAAAUAUAGAAUACAUUAAAGUUGGGUUGAGAUGCAGUGAGGCUAAGUCUAAUGGAUGUAGUUUUACCCCUUUUUCUCUUGAUUAACAUGUAUUCAGUGUAUAAAUGUUAAUUUUGUACACACUGAACCUUGGUGACUGUUCUCAAUCAUGUUUUAUUUAUUAUUUUGUUUAAAGUAACUUUCAAAGACACACCAGUCUGUGAUUGUUUCAUAUGCACAGUCAUUUAAGUUUUACUUGUGCCUCAAAAUGAUCAACUUCAUAAAUAUUUUCCUCAGGUCAAAACCACAAAGUUGCAUACCCAUACAUUAUGCAUGUGCUCAUAAAUAGCAAAAAAAUUCAAACCAAUCACAGAGUAUUUUUUAAAAGGAUCACAUAAUGUGAAAGUGCCCUUAAAGGCCCACUCCAAUGAAAGUCAUGUUUUUCUUGUCAUCUACAUAUUUAUAUGGCAUUUUUCUGAUGUUACAGGACAUAUCAUGAAAACUAAGUGCGAAAUUGCAUUUCUGAGUUUUUCUGCUUUCAAACCACUUUUAAUCUCUAGCAGACCCAAACGGCAGGUUCAGACACAGUGAGAUUUCCUAGGUCAUGUAGCAGUCAAGACAACCCUGGGUGUGAAACUCACACAUUCCUCGCAGGAAAGUUUUCUUAUCUGGUCCCUGGACACAGGAUUUAAAUCUUUCCAGACUUGUUUGCACUUUCAGGUUACCUAAGUGACCCGACCGGAGGUUGACCAAACCUCUGACUCUUCACGAUUGGUCAAUUCAGAGAACAGAGACAGAGUUUUUAUUACCUUUCAAACUGACUCCAUUGCCCUUAUACUCUUGUACCUCUUUCUCUUACACCUGAUUCUUCACUCACUGUCCACACCCUUCUGUGUUCCUCUUCUUUGUUUUCUCUUAGCUCUUUUUCUUAGUCUUUUAAGUGUUACGCCACGUGUUGAUUCACAUUGAUUUUUCUUUAACAUCGUCUUAGAUCAAGUUUUGAAACUUCAACUUUUUGUGCACAUAGCAAUUUAAGAUUAAGCCUUUGAUUGAUUUUUCUUUAGUUUCACGAAGCCAUUUUUGAAAGUUUCCAUUGGUCAUCGAGCCUCUUUUUUAUUCUGAGUUAUCUGCGUGAUUUCAAAGUCACCUCUGAACGCAACCCAGCAGGCCCAGGUCAUCCUAUGUGCCAGAGUUUUUGAGUAAGACCAAAGAAGUGUCCAAACGAGCAUCCACGGAAUCCACAGGACUGGCUUUGCUUGGGGCCCGAGUGCUGCAACUCCUGGCUCAUCCUUCGGCUGACUUCCGUCAUCUUCUGAGCCGAACCGCUCGAACCGCCGGUAGCCCCGGACCUUUGGAACCUGCUCCAUCUUCUCCAAGGACGAGUCUCACUUAAGUAUGCAAACCUCCAGAGCUCCAAAGAGGGCUGGUGCUGUCUCAUGUGUUCAUAACUCAGAUAUCCACUUAUUCUAGUAAUCUUAGAUUCCUCCAAAUCCACAUCCAAAUUUAUCUCGACACCAAAGUUAGUGUAGGUUAAUAUGUUAGAGCAUAUUCACUCACUAUCAUUAACUUUAGUGCUCCUAGCCUGACUCAGAAUCUUUAUUUAUUCACCUAUUAUUAUUUUAUCCUCAUUAUCUUAUCAUUUAUUGCAUGUAUGUUGUACCAUCAUUUAUCCUGUAAUUAUCCUGUAAGUUCUUGUCUGUUAGUGUUCUUCCAGAAGUGGAGUCCCCGAAAUGAGAAUUCGGCUUAAGAUAUGAGACUGAUUAAUUAAUGAUUGACUUCAUGUUUGAUUUCUGAAUUAAACUUUAGUUUUUCUUUAUUUUCCCACCAUUAAGGGUGGGUGGUGCCCUUUUCAACGAGUGCAUAAAUGUCAUAAUUUGAGAUUAUUAAUCUUCAGACUUUUUUUAUAAAUUCAAAUUGCUACAGUCACAACUCCAAGCCCCACCCACCGAGCCCUGCCAAUCACAGAGCAUUUUUUAAAAGGAUCACAUAAUGUGAAAGUGCCCUUAAAGGCCCACUCCGAUGAAAGUCAUGUUUUUCUUGUCAUCUACAUGUUUAUUUGGCAUUUUUCUGAUGUUACAGGACAUAUCGUGAAAACUGAGUGCGAAAUUGCAUUUCUGAGUUUUUCUGCUUUCAAACCACUUUUAAUCUCUAGCAGACCCAAAUGGCAGGUUCAGACACAGUGAGAUUUCCUAGGUCACAACUCCAAGCCCCACCCCCCGAGCCCUGCUAUGCAUGCCACACCCUGAGAAGUAAAGAAGAUGAUCACGCAACAAGCGUGUGCGUUAGCAAAUUUCAAUGCUCGUAAGACAGCUAAUCAUGAUAUUAGCUUUCAUCAUGUCUCCAAAGACUUUAGUGUCUGAGAGCUGAAUAGUUCCUAUAUUACCUGCCACUUCUACUGCACCAAUGUAGAUACCUGAUGUGUUCAGGCUGCCAGAUCAGCUCUGGGCCCAGCGCCUAUUAAUGAUGUCAGGCUACAUGAUUGGCUGGAAGUUGGUUCGGAUGGCAUAGAAGAUUGUGGUUGGUCUGGACAUUACACGAGCGGUUUUCACCGGAUUAGGUUUCAUGGGAUUGUAGUUCUGCAGAAAAAACAUGGCCGAAUUUUUUGAAGCAAUCUAUCACAACUUAUCAAUGGGGACUUAUGACUUACUACCACCUCUUUUAGGUUACCAAAGGAAAUGUGAAUGCAAAACUAUUUUUUUGAUAAACAGAAAUCCUGUGUACAUCUUUUUUUUCUUUUUCCUUUACAAAAGUCAACAUAUACUGUGUAAUUUAAGCCAUUUAAAAAUUACGAUACAGUAAGUUGUAAUUCUCUGAAUUAUAGAGACAACGUUUCAAGGUCAAUUAAGUGAACAAACAGAAAUAAAGAAAACCACGAGGGGCUGUUGACUGAGCACAUUUGACUUAAUAAAUGGAGUGCAAUGUAGUUUGUCCGAAUUUAACAGGAGCUGGGCCCCGAGCCUAUCUGGCAGGCAGCACACAUCUGGUACCUACACUGGCAACAUUCGGCUGCAAGCUAGCUUCAAAUUGAGUGUGCAGAGCAGCACUGUCUCCGCCCUUGACUCAGACAUAAAUUGUUAAUGAGCUACUGGAGCUCUGCAGAAGAAAAGCCCUUGAAAAUGACACAGGUAAAGUGAUUUUGGCUCAGUACUUCAUAAUCACAAUUUAACGACCACUGAUAGAACUUUAAAUAGUAUAAAAAAAAAAAAAAUUAAAGGUAGGAGUGGGACUUUAACCUAAAUAGUACUUGAGCCAAGGACCAAAAUUUCACAUAUCGGUACCACCUGGGUGGGCAAAUUCUAGUUGUGAUUUUUUUAUUGCUAUACAUCCCUACAAUAAGUUUUUAUAUGAUAGACCUUGGUAACUGGUAGCUUUAUUGUAGUUAUCACUCAUUAAAGUAAUGGAGUGCAGCUGUUCAAAAACCAAAAAUCGCCUUCCUUCAAAAUUAGCUUUCUUUCAUUUUAACCUCUCAUUUAGGUGUGUUUGAACUAUUGGCUAGCCAUAGAGACUUGUAAUAACCCCCUAAGUAGUAUUUCAAGUAUUUUAUCUAAUACAGGUGUGUAUAUAUAAGCUUCAAUUAGCCAAUUGUCAGGUCUAAAUCAAGGUCUAAAUUAAGGAUAUUAUGCCAGUAAAGUAGUGGACCUGUUUCAAAUCCAAACUGAGAGAUCCUUGGACUUAUUUUACAUGUCGAACACACUCUUACAACUUGACUGUUUUCAUAGGUGAUAUUUGAUGAUUUUUAAAAACAUAUUAUCACACUCUGGUUUUCCAAAAAGGAGAUAUUAAAUAUCAAAGUCAAAAUAUGAGCAUUUACUUAAAGUUACAAUUUAAUAGUUUUAUUUUGUAUUGUGUGGAAACUGUAGCACACAGAUAAAACUCAUUGUCAUCCUCCUCACGUCGCCUUUUUUUUUAGAUCCACCAGGCAGUGAGACUUCAACAUUGUUGUCUUCUUCUUCAUCAUCAUCAUCAUCAAUCAAUCAAUCAAUCAAUCAAUCAAUCAAUUAAUCGAUCAAUUAAAUUUUAUUAAUAUAUUGCCAAAUCACAACAGUGAGGUCUAGACCACGCUCAUUGUUUGAUGAAUUACAAAGACCCAACCUUAAGGUGGGACAGAUUUGACCCAUCUCAUCGGACAUGAGUGACAGUGGCAAGGAAAAACUUCCCUUUUACAGGCAGAAACCUUGAGCAGGACCAGACUCAUGUCAGACAGCCACCCACUGCAGCUGGGUUGGGGAGAAACACGGAGGGAGGGAGGAAGGGAGGGAAGACAGGGGUAUGAGAAAGAGAGGGGGGGGGGGGGCAGAAGUAACAUCUACGCCAUCAUCCUCACAUCCGCCUUCUUUUUAGGCCACCAGGCUGUGAGAAGCCAUCUUCAUCGCUAUCAUCCUCCUUUAAAAGCCAAAUCAAGACAUAAUUAUUUGCACAAGCUUUUGUUCAAUGUUUUGGGGCUGCUAUGAUUGUUAAUGUUGUUGUCUUGGCCUUUAAAAUUUUGGAAAUUUAAUAUGUACAUUUUUACUUUUCGUUUAUGUAAAGCACUUUGUGAGUUUCUGUCUGUAAAAGUUGCUAUAUAUAAAUAAAGUAUAGUUACUUACAUCAUCAUUGUCCUCACGACGUCUUUUUCUGGACCUUCCAGGCGAUUGGACGUAAAAAUCGUAGUAGUCCUCAUUAUCGCUAUACUCAUCAUCGUCAAUAUCAUCGUCUUCAUCCUCACGAUGUCUUUUGCUCGAUUUGCCAGGGGAUGGGACAUAAAAAUUGUAGUAGUCCUCAUUAUCAGUAUAAUCAUUACUACUAUAAUCAUCAUCCUCAAUAUCAUCCCUCUCUAAUACUGGGAGUGGGGCGACUUGAUCCACACCCUGGUCUUCCUCAAUGGCAUCCUCAUGGUCAUAAUUCUCUGAGUCAGAGUCUUGAAAAAUGAAAUUAAGCUGCCACUGAUCAAGCGGUUGUAAAAAAACAGAAAAAUCUGGGUGGUCACCAUUUUCACCAACAAUACUAAUCACUGCAAAAUCCUCAAAAUCAUCUUGAUGGUCGCCUGUCGCGUUGACGUUAUGUGCCAUUUUCUCAGUAGAAGAUUGAAAAACACUGCAAUGUCUCAAAGAAAACAGAGCUUGCAUGAACAGUGAGUGAGUGUGAGAGUAUGAUUAAACUCCAGGGUUAUAACCCUCUCUCUAGCCUUCUAAAACUGUGAUGUCACAUGUGUGCCACGCCCAGAUUUCAAACUGUUCUAGAAUCUUAGAGGGAUUUCUGUUUAGGUUAAAAAUUUUCUGUUAGGUUACUACACUGCUUACUGGGGUUAGACGUGAGGCUCGCACAUUUGAAAUGGUUGGUUGAAAAAUUUACUCACAAAUUAAUUUUUUAUUUGGGUAAAGCCUGUAGAAUAAAGUGGCUCAUUGCAUCAGCUUUAUGUAAAUUGUGCCCAUAGACUGUAUAUACUAUGGACAACUUGUUUCCGCCUUCCGCCUGUAUACGGAUUUGAAGCCAAAAAGCGCUGGGUAAUUCUGCGUUUUCUCUUCAUUUCCUGAAACUAACAUUGCGCAGUAGUAUUGCACGCACUCCACCACUUGCGUUGGUGCGCAUUCAGCGGGAGAGUCACCGAGAGUCACUGUGAUGACGCUCAGCUCAAACAGCAUAUCCCCUGGGUGAGCUACGCAACCCUUAUACACCCAAAGACUGUAUCGAGUGUCAGUCAUAGAAAACAUUAACCCCCUAAUAACUUUGAAAAAAAUGGAGCUGUACAGAAAAUAAAGAGGACUUGAGCACAAACCAGUCUUACAGUAACUACAUGUUAAUAUCGCAAGCGGGGGGGGGGGGGGGAUUAUGUUCUGUGUAAAACAUGUCAAAGCAUAAUAAACUGGUGAUAAUUAAUCUACAGCUAGUACAAAAUAACACUGGCAACAUUGAGGCAUGACAUCAGCCCUGACAUACACUGAUCCAACUGAUGUAUUGUGCAGAGUUAAUUAUCCUCUCUCUAUGAAAACAAAUACAGGAGUAUAGAUUAAAGUCAUCUGUUAUUUCUAUUAGUCCUUGAGCCAAGAACCAAAAUUUCACAUAUCGGUACCACCUGGGUGGGCAAAUUCUAGUUGGGAUUUUUUUAUUGCUAUACAUCCCUACAAUAAGUUUUUAUAUGAUAGACCUUGGUAACUGGUAGCUUUAUUGUAGUUAUCACUCAUUGAAGUAAUAGAGUGCAGCUGUUCAAAAAUGAAAAAUCGCCUUCCUUCAAAAUUAGCUUUCUUUCAUUUUAACCUCUCAUUUCGGUGUGUUUGAACUAUUGACUAGCCAUAGAGACUUGUAAUAACCCCCUAAGUAGUAUUUCAAGUAUUUUAUCUAAUACAGGUGUGUAUAUAUAAGCUUCAAUUAGCCAAUUGUCAGGUCUAAAUCAAGGUCUAAAUUAAGGAUAUUUUUUGACUUAGAAGUAGAAGUAAAAUAAAUGCAGACUAAUAGCAUCAUAAUAACACAACUUUAAUAUGACACUGACAUAUUUUAAAUGCAGG